RNAcentral lists this long non-coding RNA (53787 nucleotides) under Triticum aestivum (bread wheat). Its description in RNAcentral is "long non-coding RNA (TAES_LNC028456)". Lineage: Eukaryota; Viridiplantae; Streptophyta; Magnoliopsida; Poales; Poaceae. The record is from RNAcentral.
UCAGGGACUCAUGGGAAGAUAUCACAACACAACUCUAAAAGUAAAAUAAUUCAUACAAGCACCAUAUUACAAGCCAGGGGCCUCGAGGGCUCGAAUACAAGUGCUCGAACAUAAACGAGUCAGCGGAAGCAACAAUAUCUGAGUACAGACAUAAGUUAAACAAGUUGCCAUAAGAUGGCUAGCACAAACUGGGAUACAGAUCGAAAGAGGCGCACGCCUCCUGCCUGGGAUCCUCCUAAACUACUCCUGGUCGUCGUUAACGGCCUGCACGUAGUAGUAGGCACCUCCAGUGUAGUAGGAGUCAUCGUCGACGGUGGCGUCUGGAUCCUGGGCUCCAACGUCUGGUUGCGGCAUCCGAGAAGAAAAGAAAAGAGGGGGAAAAGAGGGAGCAAAGGAACCGUGAGUACUCGUCCAAAGUACUCGCAAGCAAGGAUCUACACUACAUAUGCAUGGGUAUAUGUGUAAAGAGGCAAUAUCUGUGGACUGAACUGCAGAAUGCCAGAAUAAGAGGGGGAUAGCUAGUCCUAUCGAAGACUACGCUUCUGGCAGCCUUCGUCUUGCAGCAUGUAGAAGAGAGUAGAUUGAAGUCCUCCAAGUAGCAUCGCAUAGCAUAAUCCUACCCGGCGAUCCUCCCCUGGUCGCUGAGGGAAUCCUGGAUUAGGGGGUCCUCGGACAGCUGAACUAUAUGCUUAUGCCGGACUGUUGGACUAUGAAGAUACAGGAUUGAAGACUUCGUCCCAUGUCCGGGUGGGACUCUCCUUUGCGUGGAAGGCAAGCUUGGCAACUCGGAUAUGUAGAUUCCCUUCUUUGUAACCGACUCUCUGUAACCCUAGCCCCCUCCGGUGUCUAUAUAAACCAGAGGGUUUAGUCCGUAGGACAAGAACAAUCAUAAUCAUAGGCUAGCUUCUAGGGUUACCCUCUACGAUCUCAUGGUAGAUCAACUCUUGUAAUACUCAUAUCAUCAAGAUCAAUCAAGCAGGAAGUAGGGUAUUACCUCCAUAGAGAGGGCCCGAACCUGGGUAAACAUCAUGUCCCCCGCCUCAUGUUACCAUUAGCCUUAGAUGCACAGUUCGAGACACCCUACCCGAGAUCCGCCGGUUUUGACACCGACAUUGGUGCUUUCAUUGAGAGAUCCACCGUGUCGUCACCAUAAGGCUUGAUGGCUCCUUCAAUCAUCUACAACAAUGUGGUCCAAGGUGAGGUAUUCCUCUCGGACAGAUCUUCGUAUUCGGCGAAUUCGCACUGCGGGCCAACUCGCUUGGCCAUCUGGAGCAGAUCGAUAGCUACGCCCCUGGCCAUCAGGUCAGGUUUGGAAGCCUGAACUACACUGCCAACAUCCGCGGAGAUUUGAUCUUCGACGGAUUCGAGCCCAUGACAGGUGCACCCUACAGCCACGAUGAGCAUGACCUAGAUCUGCCAUCGGACGGUGUUCGGGAGAUCACACCUGCAGCUGCCCUGGCUUUAGAUCCAGUGCAGAUCGUGCCAUCCGAGGACGGGAGGAUGGACCCCGCCACGGAAGCCGCACACUUAACGGCGAUAGAGCCGAACACAGAUUUCACUUCCAAUGAUGUCUGUGUCAUCGGACCCUCGGACUCGCCUCCGUCCAUAGGCUCCGAACUACAUGUAUCCAUGCCCAUGAGAUCCAACUGGGCGUCGAUCUUGGAGUUCAACUCCGCGGACAUUUUUCAGCACUCGCCCUUGGGUGACGUGCUGAACUCGCUAAAAUCUCUCUCCUUGUCGGGAGAUUCUUGGCCGAAUUAUGUCCGGCUCGAGUGGGAAGCGGACGAUGAAAAGGAAUUCGUCGACGACUUAACUGACAGGAUUGAUUUCGACUCCGAAGACAUUGACGGUAUGGACGAGGAUGCCGGAGAAGAACAUGAACCACCGCCCACAGAACGAUGGACAGCUACCUCAUCGUACGGCAUAUAUAUGGUGGACACACCCAAAGAAAACAAUGGCGAGGGGCAGAAGGACGCAACGACUCCUGAGAAGCAGCCAAAGCGUCGACGUCAGCGGCGCCGCUCUAAACCCCGCCAUAGCAAAAAUAGCGAUACCGGCACAAGAAAGAAUAACACCCCGGACAAUGCCGAAGACGACGACCACCCCGCAGACCCAGCGAUGGAGCAGGACGAGCAAGGGGACGGCGAACAAAGUCCGGGGCCGCUGUCCGAUCACAGCGAUGGCGAAGACAAAACUUAUAAACCUGUCUCCGGAGAGGAGAACAGUCCGGACAACGAUGCACGCAUCAUCCCGAAAAAACACUUGGAACUUAUUGCCACCGCGUGGAGCCUGAAGAAGCAGAAGCAACGGCUAGAAGCCGUGCAGGAUACGCUCAACUACAGAUGGAACGAAGUGCUCAACACUGAGGAAAGAUACGGCGGUGAUCGCCAGACAAAGAGCUACGCAAAACGUAAGCUGCUGCCCGAAUUCGACGACAAGGCUAUCGCGCCCAUUCCGUCGAAAAACAAUACGGCCGGUCUGCUAGACCGACCACCUCAUGGCCGAGACAGAGCGGCUAAUGAUGCCGCACACAAGUCAGCACACGAUCUACAUGAGCACCUGGAAAAAAGAGCUGGUAUGAUCAGGUCCAUCUAUGGAUCUAGGAAACGUGUUCCUAUGCAGGAUCACGGUCACCAAACCGACUAUACUUAUCGACUGCCAGCUCAAAAUCAACACCGAACACUACAGCCGUCGGACCCAUGCCACGACACAGCCAAGUACAGGGGUGUCGCACACCCCCUGUGCUUCACCGAUGAGGUGCUGGAUCAUGAAUUUCCAGAGGGGUUUAAACCCGUAAACAUCGAGGCAUAUGACGGAACAACAGACCCUGCAGUCUGGAUUGAGGACUUUAUUCUUCACAUCCAUAUCUCUCGCGGAGACAAUCUCCACGCCAUCAAAUACUCGCCCCACAAGUUGAAAGGACCAGCUCGGCACUGGUUGAAAAGCCUCCCCGAAAUUUCCAUUGGAAGCUGGGAGGAACUCGAGGACGCUUUUAGGUCUAAUUUUCAAGGGACAUAUGUCCAACCUCCGGAUGUAGACGAUUUAAGUCACAUAAUUCAACAACGCGGAGAGUCAGCCCGUAAGCUUUGGAACAAAUUUCUCACCAAGAAGAACCAAAUCGUCGACUGUCCGGAUGCCGAAGCCCUAGCAGCUUUCAAACACAGUGUCCGGGACGAAUGGCUUGCCAGACACCUCGGCCAGGAAAAGCCAAGGACAAGGGCAGCCCUAACAACUCUUAUGACCCACUUUUGCGUGGGCGAGGACAUUUGGUUGGCCCGCAGCGGCACCAGCGAUCCAGGCACAUCCAAAAUCAGGGAUGGCAAUGGAAAACCGCGACGCAAUAAAAACAAGCGUCGAAAUAAUGAAGACAACCCAGACAAUACAGUGGUAAACGCCGGAUUCAGGGGUUCUAGACCCGGUCAACGGAAAAAUCCAUUUAAAGGCAGCAGAGAUGGUCCAUCCAGCCUAAAUAAAAUUCUAGACAGGUCCUGUCAAAUUCAUGGCACCCCCGAGAAACCUGCAAAUCACACCAACAGAGAAUGCUGGGUCUUCAAGCAGGCCGGCAAGCUAAACGCCGAACACAAAGGGAGGGAGCCGCCAAGUGAAGAUGAGGACGAACCCCGCCAGCCGAACACUAGGGGACAUAAUUUUUUUCCACCGGAGGUCAAAACAGUGAACAUGAUUUACGCCACUCACAUACCAAAGAGGAAGCGCAAACGCGCACUCCGAGACGUAUAUGCUGUAGAUCCUGUCGCCCCCAAAUUCAACCCAUGGUCGGCCUGGCUGAUCACUUUCGAUCGCAGGGAUCACCCGACUAGUAUCCGGCAUGGAGGUUCGGCUCCCUUGGUGCUCGACCCAAUAAUUGACGGAUACCAUCUCACCUGAGUCCUCAUGGACGGCGGCAGUAGUAUUAAUCUGAUAUAUCAGGACACUGUCCGCAAGAUGGGGAUAGACCCAUCAAGAAUCAACCAAAGCAGUACUACCUUUAAAGGAUUAAUACCAGGCAUAGAGGCCCGCUGCACGGGCUCUUUAACAUUAGAGGUUGUAUUCGGUUCUCCCGACAACUUUCGAAGCGAAGAACUAACCUUCGACAUCGCUCUGUUCCGAAGCGGCUAUCAUGCACUAAUCGGAAGGACGGCCUUCGCUCGUUUCAAUGCAUUACCGCACCACGCUUAUCUCAAACUUAAGAUGCCCGAUCCAUGUGGCGUCAUUACAAUCAGCGGAAACACAGAGCGUUCUCUUCGUGCGGAAGAAUACAUGGCGGCUCUAGCAGCCGAACCACUGAACGGCCUCUCCAACCCGAGUAACUCAUCGGUCUUCGAGACCACGGACACGUAUAGACGUGUUCGGCGCACACCUAGUUGUAGAAGCCCAGAUAAACCUGAGCUUGAUUAACGGCUAUGCCCCCAUAUGUGGUGCGGGGGGCUGCCCGCAUGUAAAAGGUCCAUAGUUCGGCUUGACCCUAUUUACACUCAAGAGAUUGAAUUUUCACGGUUCAUCAAGAUUAACCGACUUUACGCAUGGUCACACCAGAUUCUUUCACCUGGAUUUUUUUUUCAGAUGACCAUCGUGCUAUACCCUUCAAAGAUACGGCACAACGGAGGCAAAGGCGCAGAUGUGCAGCGGGGCCGCGUCCAAAGGUUUGUUUUUAGAUUAAGACCCUGUGUAAACCUUUUUUAUUGUCUCUUGUUGUCUCACACCCUCCUGGCACUUAAAAUGACCAAGAGGGAUACCGACGUUGCCGGCGAACUUAUGAUUCGCCAUUCUAAAGUAGACGUUACAAAGACAUCAACCAGUGUGUUUUCGAGAUCUACGCUCUCACCACAGGCGCUCUUUCGUGACGCCGGAUUGAUGCACGCACCUUGAAAUUCAGGGCUCAUUAUCGAGGGUGGUACUCAGCCCAGUAUAUGUUGUAAAGUCUGAAUACCUUCCGGAGUGUUCGGCGUCGCGAGUUUGGCCUUAUAUGCAUCAGAUCCGAAUCAUGUCUUUGGUCAAUAGUUGGGUUUGCCCGGCUCCUGUGUUUUGCUACCUUACGUUCCGCUCUAUCGGCUAAGGUGGCACAGGGAGAACUAGUGCGAUUGUGCCCUGGUUCAUCCGGAUGAGCACCUCAGUAGAGAAAGCCGAAAACUGACUGUCAUGAUAAAGCGAGAGACUGGUCAACCACUCGAUGACUCAGCGGAAUCUUCGCGAUUCCUCGCAUUAACGAAGGACUGGUCACUACUAGAAAAAAGGCUGCUAGUGGCGCACCUGUUUUUGCUAUUAAUGGCGCACUAUAGGUGCGCCAUUACUAUGUCCCACAGUGCGCCAUUACUAUGUCCCACAGUGCGCCAUUACUAUCUGACUUAGUAAUGGCGCACCACAUAGAAGUGCGCCAUUACUAAUAAUUUUUUUCAGAUAUUUUUUUCAAUUUUUUUUCAGAUUUUUUUUUCAUUUUUUUCUUAAUCUCGGGUCACUAUGGCUUAAUCUCGGGUCAAUAUGCUUAAUCUCAAGUCAAAUCGCACUCCGUGAUCAAACUUCCUGGAAGGUCACCCAUCCUCACACUACUCCAGCCCGAGCACGCUUAACUUCCCAGUUCUAUCCAACCCCAGCACCAGCUCACUUAGCAGGCACUUGUUGAUAUAUCUAUCAUAUCAAUCCUAUUAAACCUUGUUGAUGUCUAGGACUUUGUUCAUGUUCAUGAGUGUGAUGAAAUUUUGAAAAAAUAUUUCAAACUUCCCGGUCAUAUUACGUAUCAUAUUUUGAACAUUUUUUCCAAAAAAAAAUCGAAACCAAUUUUUUUCUGUUACUAGUGGCGCACCUAGCAAAUGGUGCGCCAUUACUAAGUUUGAAUUUUUUUUCCAUUUUUCCCCCUCUAGAUCUUAAAAGCCCCGUAUCUUUUAUUCUCUUAGGUUUUUGGGGAUUCUAAAAAUCUUCAACGGGGUUCCGAGUUCAUAUAAAAAACUUGUGCAAAUAUAAAAACUUAUUUCCAGUAGAUGAUUCUUCAUAUAAAAAACUUUUUAAUCCGAGUUCGUAUGCAAAAGCCCCUAGUAAUUCGGAUGUAACUUUUCGAGUAGAUGAUUUUUCAUAUAAAAAACUUUUUAAUCCGAGUUCGUAUACAAAAGUUAUGCCCAUUUUACUAAUUUCCAGAGCGAUUUUGCAAAUAAAGUCAAAAUUCAUAUUUGUAAAUUUUCCUAACAACUAAACCACAUAUCACAUGGGAAACUUAUUUUCUUUUAUUUUUUUGACAUUUUCAUCAUUUUGUUUUUUUUAACUGAAAAGGUGGUCCAUGGGGGGUGCAUUUGGUGAAAAUUUUCAAACUUCCCGGUCAUAGUAAUGGCGCACCUUCACAAAGUGCGCCAUUACUAUGUGUAUGACUUGGUCAAACCUUGGUCAAAGUUAGUAAUGGCGCACCUUGCCAUUACUAAGUUUGACAUAGUAAUGGCGCACCUAUGCAAAGUGCGCCAUUAUUAAGUUUGACCAAGGUUUGACCCAGUCAUACACAUAGUAGUGGCGCACUUUGUGAAGGUGCGCCAUUACUAUGUCAACCUAGUAAUGGUGCACCUAUACAAAGUGCGCCAUUACUAUGUGUAUGACUGGGUCCAACCUUGGUCAAACUUAGUAAUGGCGCACUUUUCACCAUGUGCGCCAUUAGUAAUAUGGCCAUUAAUGGUGCACCUAUAUCUGGUGCGCCACUGCUAUAUAGCAGUGGCGCACCACAUCCAUGAUGCGCCAUUAGUGUCCAUAUUAGCUAUAGCCGUUUUUCUAGUAGUGGGUUUCCCGGUCACGUAUGUAAACGCACCGUAUUCGGAUAAACGCGGACAUACCAGGGGCUAUAUAGUAGUCCCACCGUCAAACUCCUAUGGCUAAGUGAAAGUGUUAAAGCUAUAUAGUCUGAUUGCCUCGUUUGCCGCGCUACCACCUCCUUAACGGACCAAGACGUUGGAUCAAGUGUGAUUACGUGCUUUGCCGAACACCCCCGCAUUAUACGUGAGGGGGCUGAGGCCGACAACUUCAAACUUUCAGGUUAUAUACAUAUAUACAUAAACGGCCGCACAGGAGGCACUACAAUACUUUACGGGCAAAAGUAUAAAUAUAGCCCUUAUUAUCAAAAGCAUUGUUUUUACAAUCAAGAUAAAUGUCAUUCGAACAUGGUAUUCUUUGAGCACUGAGCCUCUAUUAAACGGGCACCUUCUAAGACUUCUUCAAAAUAGUGCUCGGGCGAGUCCUGGCCCCCGGGUGGACCCCUGGUUGCAAUAUCGGUGGCCUCCAUCUUCGCCCAGUAUGUCUUAACACGGGCAAGGGCCAUCCUUGCCCCCUCUAUGCACGCCGACCGCUUGACAGCGUCGAUAUGCGGCACAACACGAGUAAAUCGUUGCACCAAACCAAAAUAACUGUCCGAACUUGGUUCCUUCGGCCACAUGCGAUCCAAAACAGCCUUCAUGGCAAGCCCGGUUAACCUAUGGAGCUCGGCCCAUUCGGCCAUUUGCUCGUUCAACAGCAGCGGACGCCUUGGAGUACUGAACUGCGACCAAAACAAUCUUUCCGCUUCAUGAUCUUGAUCUUGGAAAUACUGUGCCGCAUCAGCAGCACUCUGACAAAUCGAAGUACGCGUCUGGAGAGCUCCAUAACUGAUCAAGAGGGGCAUACUUCGGAUCACCGAAUUUGUUUCGCAAUAAAAAGGGCUUCCCAGCCGCGAUCUCACCGGCUUGCCGAAGCUCCUCCCGAGCCGCUCUGAUCUCAGAGCGAGUUUCCUUUGCUGCUUGUAAGGCCUUCUUUAGGUCAGCCGUUUUCGCUUGGUUUUCCCUUUCGAGAAGCUCCUAUCGACUAGCGCAUUUUGUAGCUCAAGAGCCAGGUUGGCUAUUCUAUCCUCACUUUUACGAUGGGCAGCCUGUUCGGCUUUUAAUUCACCAGCUGCCUUCACGGCAGCCGCAUUGCUUCUCCUGGCUUGCUCCUUGGCCCGGGCAAGCUCUGCCCGAAGGAUCUCCGCGGCGGCAGCACCAUCUGCAGUCAAAGCAUAUCAUAAAACCUAGCAUCAUGCUCUUAUUAAUAUUUGCUGACCACCCAAAUAUACAUACCCUGUGCCUCGUCAAGCCGCUUGUUCACAAGCGUGAUGUCUGCAUCCGCCACAUCAAGUUGCCGCUUCAUUUUGGCAAAUUCAGCAGUCCGGUCAGCCGCCGGAGCUGCAGCCGCCUGCGUACAAAAUUGGCACCAUCAUUACCUGAGACUAUGAUCCUUUGCUCGCCUUGUCUGGAUGGCAACCAGAGUCUCAGGGGCUACUAUCUAUACAAAGUGCACCUUGCAUUUACGGUACAAUCAAAAAAUAUCACUUUGCGUACCUCAAAGCCUCUUAGCAGGCUCGUAAAAGCUUCAUUCAACCCGGUUUUUGCGGAUGAAAUCCUCUCAACCACUGUACCCAUUAACGUACGAUGUGCCUCUGAGAUAGCCGCUUGCCGCAGAAGACCCGUCAAUGUGUCCGGUUGUAUAUCGAACAGUCCUGGGCUUUUUCUGUUGGUCUCUUUAGGAGCUGAAAACCCCGGACUUCGGGCGGCCGAAGAGUUACCUUCUGGUCUUUGCGGAUCGGGAGAUAUCCUCCGGGACGACACCUCAGGGUCGUCCGCCUCAUGAGGCGGAGAAGUAGGAGGAGGCGUUUCGCUCUCCAUCAUCUCUGGAAGAAGAUCCCCCGAGGACGAACAUUGUUGAGGGAGGCUAUAAGCCGAACUGCAAAACAUAUGUCUCGGUCGUUAUUCUCAGGAAAAGAAUGGGGUAUGCUUACUAAGCGCCUUUGUUCACUUACGGCUCGGUUAAUAGCUGGCGCCCCUGUGGCCGCUGUGCGGCAAUGUUGCCCUCCGGGGCAGGGCCCCCUGAUGAAGGUUUCUUCCCUCGUUUGGAGACCUCUGUUUCCAAGUCUUCGGGGGCGGUCCUUUUCUUCUCGUGGGGAGAAGGGAUGCUAGAUUCUCCUCCCCGUUCAUCAUCCGAUACGGGGGUAGUAAUUUCCCCAGUUAGGAUGCGUAACGUACCUCCAGCAUGAAGUCCGCUUUUGGCUUCCCCAUUCCUCUCCUUGUCUUCCCCUGAUCGCACUUGAUAAGGUGCGCGAGCCAACAUCCUGGUUAAUACAGGAUCCGGCGAAUCUUCGGGAAGAGGGGCUGAACACCUGAUCCUCUCCGCCUUUCUUAUCCAGCCCUGGCCGAGGAUGGUUUUUCAGAAUAAUGCUGUGACAAAUAUAAUGACAACAUGUUCGGUCGUAGAAUUACUUACCUGGGUGUCUGGAUGGUUGCAAUCGAGGCAUGCAUCCUUUGUUGUGUCCGGACACUUUACUCGUGAUCCGAAGAAUAAUUGAUACAUCCCUUCGAGCGUCACGCCGAAGAAGUGCUGAAUAGUUCGCGGUCCUUCCGGGUUGAACUCCCACAUACGGAGAGAUUGACGUUGGCAUGGCAGGACCCGACGAACUAGCAUUACUUGGAUUACUUUGACAAGGCUGAUAUCCUUCUUGAUAAGAUCAUGAAUGCAGCUUUGCAAUGUCCGCACGUCAUCAACCGAUCCCCAGUCCAGCCCCUUGUUGACCCAUGAGGCAAGCUGUGGCGGAGGAGCGGAGCGGAAGGCUGGGGCGGCUGCCCACUUUCUGCCUCGGGGUGCUAUGAUGUAAAACCACUCCCAUUGCCAUAGGUCAGAAACUUCCGGGAAGGAACCCUUUGGCCAUACAGCAUCGACACCUUUGCUUAUUAUAGCGCCUCCGCACUCCGCGUGUCGCCCGUUGAUCAUCUUGGGCUUCACAUUGAAGGUCUAUAGCCAUAAGCCGAAGUGUGGGGUAAUGCGGAGGAAGGCCUCACACACAAUCAUGAAUGUUGAGAUGUGAAGGAAGGAAUCUGGAGCUAGAUCAUGAAAAUCUAGCCCAUAAUAGAACAUGAGCCCUCUAACAAAUGGAUGAAGACCGAAGCCUAGCCCUCGGAGGAAGUGGGAGAUGAAUACGACACUUUCAUUGGGUUUAUGAGUAGGAAUAACCUGCCCUUGAGCAGGAAGCUUGUGAAGGAUUUCGGCGGUCAAGUACCUAGCUUCCCUAAGCUUCUGUUGAUGUCCUCCUCUGUGACGGAAGAGGCCAUCCACCGGCCUUGAAGGUUGGAUCCGGACAUGGUUGAAUGUCCGGAGCACUUGGACUGAACCUUGGGUGUUGGAACUCAGGGUGAGGGAAGGGAAGGAUCAGGCGUGGAAAGAAAAGGAUAGGUCUUGACCUCUUUAUAAAGAGGAUGAAUGUCAAGCAUCCUCCGCGUGGCCGUUUGGCACUUGCCUAAACCAAGGAGUCGUACUAAUGGAGCGGUUGGGUGUUAAUGAGAAUCCCGUGAUAAGGGAGACUAGAUCUCUGCUUCGACAAGACGUGCCAAUAAAACCGCCUCGCAAGACGUGUAGUGGCAGGUUGAAAAAACGGUUUGAAUAAUAACCGGGCCGCGGCGUGAUGUCGCGCUAGGUAAAAGUUGUCAGCAGAUUAGACUCAUGGAAUAUUGUACUCUCUACGGUGGUACGUGGAAUUUGUUUUGCAGAGCCGGACACGAUUCUUGUGUUCAAGAUCUACUUUGGAGUAUUCGGAGAAGGAACCCGCCUUGCAAUGCCGAAGACAAUCUGCGUGUCAGACUCAUCGUCAUUGAAGCCUGGUUGAGGGGCUACUGAGGGAGUCCUGGAUUAGGGGUCCUCGGACAGCCGGACUAUAUGCUUAUGCCGGACUGUUGGACUAUGAAGAUACAAGAUUGAAGACUUCGUCCCGUGUCCGGGUGGGACUCUCCUUUGUGUGGAAGGCAAGCUUGGUAACUUGGAUAUGUAGAUUCCCUUCUUUGUAACCGACUCUGUGUAACCCUAGCCCCCUCCGGUGUCUAUAUAAACCGGAGGGUUUAGUCCGUAGGACAAGAACAAUCAUAAUCAUAGGCUAGCUUCUAGGGUUAGCCUCUACGAUCUUGUUGUAGAUCAACCCUUGUAAUACUCAUAUCAUCAAGAUCAAUCAAGCAGGAAGUAGGGUAUUACCUCCAUAGAGAGGGCCCGAACCUGGGUAAACAUUGUGUCCCCCGCCUCCUGUUACCAUUAGCCUUAGACGCACAGUUCGGGACCCCCUACCCGAGAUCUGCUGGUUUUGACACCGACAGUCGCCCUGUGGGAAAGCGAUCACCGGGUUGUCUCUGGAACUUGUCUCGGUGUGUUUUAUUAAGUAUCCGAUUCUAGUUGUCAUAACGUCAAGUUACAACUCCGGGUCGUCCUAUUACCGAGGGACACGGCUAUGCGAAUAGAUAAACUUCCCUGCAGGGGUGUACCACAUAACCCAACACGCUCGAUCCCCUUUGGCCGGACACACUUUCCUGGGUCAUGCCCGGCCUCGGAAGAUCAACAUGUCGCAGCCCCACCUAGGCACAACAGAGAGGUCAGCACGCCGAUCUAAAUCCUAUGCGCGCAGGGGUCUGGGCCCAUCGCCCAUUGCACACCUGCACGUUGCGAGGGCGGCCGGUGAGCAGACCUAGCAACCUCCAUUACAAAGGAAGUUGCGUUACGCGGUCCAACCCGGUGCGCAUCGCUCAGUCGCUGACGUCAAGAAGGCUUCGGCUGAUACCGUGCCCAUAAUUGUUCCCGCGUAGUUGGUUAGUGCGUAUAGGCCAGUGGCCAAACUCAGAUAAAAUACCAAGAUCUCGUUAAGCGUGUUAUUAUGAAGUAACCGCGAACGCCGACCAGGGCCAGGCCCACCUCUCGCCUAGGUGGUCUCAACCUGCCCUGUCGCUCUGAUACGUCCCCAACGUAUCUAUAAUUUUUGAUUGUUCCAUGCUAUUAUAUUACUUGUUUUGGAUGUUUAUGGGCUUUACUUUACACUUUUAUAUCAUUUUUGGGACUAACCUACUAAACGGAGGCCUAGCCCGUAUUGCUGUUUUUUUGCCUAUUUCAGUAUUUCAAAGAAAAGGAAUAUCAAACGGAGUCCAAACGGAAUGAAACCUUCGGGAGCGAUCUUUUUGGAACAAACGUGAUCUUGGACUGCAAUCGAGGCGGCCACGAGGGUGGAGGGCGCGCCCUCCCCUACUCGGCGCGCCCCCCUAUCUUGUGGGCCCCUCAGGCGUCCACCGACCUACUUCUUCCUCCUAUAUAUACCCAUGUACCCCGAAAAAAUCAGAAGCGCCCACGAAAAACUAUUUCCACCGCCGUAACCUUCUGUAUCCGCGAGAUCCCAUCUUGGAGCCUUCGCCAGCGCUUCGCCGGAGGGGGAAUCGAUCAUGGAGGGCUUCUACAUCAACACCAUAGCCCCUUCGAUGAGUUGUGAGUAGUUUACCACAGACCUUCGGGUCCAUAGUUAUUAGCAAGAUGGCUUCUUCUCGCUCUUUGAAUCUCAAUACAAAGUUCUCCUCGAUCUUCUUGGAGAUCUAUUCGAUGUAACUCUUUUUGCAGUGUGUUCGUCGAGAUCCGAUGAAUUGUGGGUUUAUGAUCAAGUUUAUCUAUGAGAAAUAUUUGAAUCUCCUCUGAAUUCUUUUAUGUGUGAUUAAGGUGUCUUUGCAAGUCUCUUCAAAUCAUCAGUUUGGUUUGGCCUACUAGAUUGAUCUUUCUUGCAAUGGGAGAAGUGCUUAGCUUUGGGUUCAAUCUUGCGGUGUCCUUUCCCAGUGACAGCAGGGGUAGCAAGGCACGUAUUGUGUUGUUGCCAUCGAGGAUAAAAAGAUGGGGUUUAUAUCAUAUUGCAUGAGUUUAUCCCUCUACAUCAUGCCAUCUUUUUAAUGCGUUAGUCUGUUCUUUAUGAACUUAAUACUCUAGAUGCAUGCUGGAUAGCGGUCGAUGUGUGGAGUAAUAGUAGUAGAUGCAGAAUCGUUUCGGUCUACUUGUCACGGACGUGAUGCCUAUAUACAUGAUCAUGCCUAGAUAAUCUCAUAAUUAUUCGCUUUUCUAUCAAUUGCUCGACAGUAAUUUGUUCACCCACCGUAAUACUUAUGCUAUCUUGAGAGAAGCCACUAGUGAAACCUAUGGCCCCCGGGUCUAUAUUUUAUCAUGUAAGUUUGCCAUCUACUUUUAUUUGCAUCUUUACUUUUCCAAUCUAUAUCAUAAAAAUACCAAAAAUAUUUAUCUUAUCAUAUUAUAUCUAUCGGAUCUCACUUUCACAAGUGGCCGUGAAGGGAUUGACAACCCCUUUAUUGCGUUGGUUGCGAGUUCUUGUUUGUUUGUGUAGGUGCAUGGGACUUUGAGGAGCCUCCUACUGGAUUGAUACCUUGGUUCUCAAAAACUGAGGGAAAUACUUACGCUACUAUGGCCGUCGGGAACCCCGGCCCACCUCUACCGGGAUGGAGCGACCUGUCCUUUCGGGCCCCAUAUCCGAAUCACUUGCGGGUACUCAACAAGCCGACCCGACCACCAUCUGUAUUGUAUGUAUAUAUGUAUAGUAUAUACCCGUGAUCACCUCUCGAGUGAUCACGGCCCCAUAGUAUAACAAGGUAGACUGACAAGAAUGUAGGGCCACUGAUGAUAAACUAGCAUCCUAUACUAAGCAUUUAGGAUUGCGGGUAAGGUAUCAACAACUGUAGCAACAAUGACAGGCUAUGCAACAGAAUAUGAUUAACCGAACAGUAACAUGCUACACUACUCUAAUGCAAGCAGUAGAGAGAAGAAUAGGUGAUAUCUGGUGAUCAAGGGGGGGGGCUUGCCUGGUUGCUUUGGCAAGAAGGAGGGGUCGUCAACUCCGUAGUCGAACUGGGCAGCAACAGCGUCGGUCUCGUAGUCUACCGGAGAGAAGAGGGGGAAGAAACAAUAAAUACAAUGCAAACAUAAGCAUGAUGAUGCAUGACAUGACAAUGAGCGGUGCUAGGUGUGCCCUAACGCGGCAGUAGGUGGUACCGGCGCAGGAGGGAAACAUCUGGGAAAGUAUCCCCGGUGUUUCGCGUUUUCGGACAAAUGAACCGGAGGUGAAAUGUUGCAGGUUCGCUAUGCUAGGGACGCGUGGCUGACGAACGGGCUACGUAUUCGGAUUCGUCACGAAAUUCUGAGCAACUUUCAUGUUCAAAGUAUUUUCAUCUGAGUUAUGGAUUAUUUUAUUUUAUUUUUCAAAGUUUUAUUGAAUUCCUGAAAAUCCUGGAAUUUAUUUAAUUUCAAAAAAAUAAAUAGAUAAAUGCUAAGUGCACACAGAAGUGUAUAGUCAGCAGGUACAGUCAGUAGUUGACCAGUCAAGGUUGACUGGUCAACAGGAUCAAGUGAGCCCACAUGUCAUUGACUGGGGCAUCCCAGUCAGCAGUUGACUUGGUCAACGGGGCCCAGUGGGACCCAGCAAUCAAUGACUCAAAUAGUUAACAGAAGGUUAGGUCGAUCUAUUAAAGUAAUUAGCAGGUGGGGCCCGGCCGUCAGUGGAUCAUUUUUUAACAGAGUUUUAUUUAACCAAACUAAUUAAUUAGCUAGGUGGCCCCACAUUUUAGUGGCUAUUAGGGUGCCGGUUAGUGCUAAUUAGCGUUUAGGUCCUAAUUAAUUAGGACGGGCCCACACGUCAGUGAGCCAGUCCGUUGGUUUAAGCACGAAUGUGUGUGUCAUGCACGCCGGUGAGGCACAUAGGCGGCGGAGGUGCUCGGGAGCACAGCUCCGGCGACGGCCUGGCGUGCGGGAGGACACGAUAUAGGACGCGCGGGGUAGGGGGUCAGCGGGCGACCAGCGGGCGCCGCGCAGGCGCUCCGCGCGACGGCAGCAGCGAGUAGCAGGGGGGCACGGGGCGAGGAGGAGGGCGCGGCUGGGUGAGGCACAACACGGUUGCGGGCGUCGCCGGGUGCAGCUAGGAGGUCAGGAGCGGCCGGAGUGCGAGCUCAGGCGCGAGACGGCGGGGUUUGGCCGACGCGGGCGCGUGGCCAGGUCGCCGGUGCGGGCGGUGGCCACGGUGGGGGGCGUGAGCGGCACGGCGGGGCAAGACGCGGUGACCCCAAGAAAGAGGAGGCAGAGGGGUUGUGGCUCACGUGCGGUGCCGGGGUUCGAGGGCGGCGAGGCCUGGUGUAGGCCGACGAGGGAGAGUCGGGGAGGGCAGUCUGGCGGGGAGGUCCGGCGAGGUUGCGUCGGGGAUCGGCCAAGGUGCGGAUCCAGAUCGGGAUGAUGGGGAUUCGGCGGAGAGANNNNNNNNNNNNNNNNNNNNNNNNNNNNNNNNNNNNNNNNNNNNNNNNNNNNNNNNNNNNNNNNNNNNNNNNNNNNNNNNNNNNNNNNNNNNNNNNNNNNNNNNNNNNNNNNNNNNNNNNNNNNNNNNNNNNNNNNNNNNNNNNNNNNNNNNNNNNNNNNNNNNNNNNNNNNNNNNNNNNNNNNNNNNNNNNNNNNNNNNNNNNNNNNNNNNNNNNNNNNNNNNNNNNNNNNNNNNNNNNNNNNNNNNNNNNNNNNNNNNNNNNNNNNNNNNNNNNNNNNNNNNNNNNNNNNNNNNNNNNNNNNNNNNNNNNNNNNNNNNNNNNNNNNNNNNNNNNNNNNNNNNNNNNNNNNNNNNNNNNNNNNNNNNNNNNNNNNNNNNNNNNNNNNNNNNNNNNNNNNNNNNNNNNNNNNNNNNNNNNNNNNNNNNNNNNNNNNNNNNNNNNNNNNNNNNNNNNNNNNNNNCGGGCGCAGUGCGGCGCAGCGGCGACGAGCGACGGGGCGCAGCAGGGGCGACGGGGGCAGCGCCCCGAUCCAGAUCCAGAGAGGGGGAUUGUGGGGAACAAGAGAGGGAGCGAGUGGGGAGUGGGGGUUGCGGAGCGGUUAGGGUUUCGGGGGGGAUAAGGGGAGUGAGGGGGCAGCCGGUUGGGCCAGUGGGUCGGCCAGCUAGGCCGUCUGGCCUAGUUGGCCUGGGGGCCUCUUCUUUUUAUUUUUAUUUCGUAGUUUUGUUUUCUGUUUUUAUUCUUUUCCUUUUUCUUUAUUUUCUCUAUUGUUUUAAUUCAUUUUCAAUUAUUUAGACAUCCUGUAAAAACGUGGUUCCUUCACCAUAAAUACCUAGGCAUUAAUUGGCACACUCCAAACAUUUUACUUUAAUGUUUGAAAUUUUUUGAUGUUUGACGAAAAUUCAAAUUUGACUUUGAACAGUUUUGAUCCAACAUGGGAUUAGCAACAGUAAUCGAGGUGACAUGGCUUCAUUAGCAGAGGUUUACUGUAGCUUGAUUAUCCAGGCGUCACAAUUCUCCUCCACUACAAGAAAUCUCGUCCCGAGAAUUAAGAGGGGUGUAAGGGGGAAAGUUCUAGUUACAAAAUCCUAAUGGAUCUUCUCGUCUUUGGUUGCUCUUCUCAAAGAGGUCGAUCCAUUACAUUGAUGUCUUCAUUACUCUGCUUCUGGUCAUCAUGAUGAAGUCGACAUCCUUUCUUCGGGAACUCUAUCGUACUUACGAAAGAAUAAAGGGGCAUUCCGGGAGAGCGGACCUCUGCAAGGUCGACUAUCUGGUCGAUAACAUCGAGGAAGGUGGCGAAAGUAUCUCUCGAAUUGAAAUUUAAGAAAAUACCGAGAGCAAAGUAAGGAGGUAUCAUGGGAAGUUUCAAGCGGAUAGACAACCAUUCGUUGCCUGAAACAUGGCGUGAAAGGGGUUCAAAGCAACGGGAAUAAGUAAUGUGUAUGGUACCAGAAUAGAUGAUCUCUCGGAAAGUGACUCAUGAAUUUCAUACGAGGCCAUGCGCGAGGAAUAACCUUGGGAACAGGGAGUGUACAGGAGAGUCAGGUUUCGAUCCUGUGGAACUGUGGGUUAUGGGCCCACCAUGUGGGUUAAAAGUAGGAAGGCGGUGACCACUUGCACGAUCAUGUAAGCAAGGCAUGCCAGAGGAUAGCCUGUCAGUUAUGUCGGCAACAACAUCGGUACCAAGGGCGAGGGACGAAGAGAACCAUUCUCUUGUUCGUUGAACGAGGCAGACCAAUUGGCAAAGUUCUCACUCAUCGGUGGUUACUGGAAUGUCAUCAACAAUAGUAACAGGGUCUUACAGACAGAGUGGUACAACAAGGUGCCUACCUAAGAAGGGAACUAUCUCUGCUCAGUUAAGUCAGAUUCAGGAAAGGUUAAACAAAAGAAUGGAAAGGAAAACGCGACUAUCAGAUUAAACAGAACAAUGGAAAGGAAAAUUGUGAUUACACACAAUUAUUAGGAGUAUAUCCUUCCCAUGGACAAGGAGAACAUGGCAUACAGGGUAGGAGAGCAAGUACCCAAACAUUCAGAUAAGAGGCAAGGAUUAAUCAAGAUGUUACCCAUACAACGGUGUUUGGAUAACUGACCAGGAAACAUUUAGUAUCGCGCCUCCAAUGUUCUUGUUGAUGGGCGGGGUAUCAUAGUCAGGCUUCGAGGUAGCAAUGAUAUGGUGUUCCAAUCAAGGUCCAGACUCUGGAUACAAAAAUGAUCCAUCAGGAGCAACUUAUAAAUUAAGUCUUACAAUUUCCUUCAGGAAGAAUGGUUAUCCUUGCAAAAGAAAUAUUAAUGAUAGGUCCUCCAGCCAGGGGUGCUAGGCAUGACAUAAUAUUAUCGGGUCAUCAAAGUACCAACAUCAUAACUCCUGGAAAGUUGUCCCAACCAUCAUAUCUAACCGAGAUUCAGAUCCAAUUGGUGUCAUGAUACCUCAGAAUCAGGAUGUCCGAGAAGAAAAGGUGCGACACAAAUCGGCGAAAUGACAUUGCAAGAUUCUCGGGAAAUGAACUAUGAGAGCGGGUUCCUGAAACAAUAGUUCAUCAUUAAACCAAGGUGGGGAUGUGGAGGUGCCUGAUGGGCUCAGCGACAAUUCCUCGAGAAUUCCAAACGGAUGGAUUUCCAAAAUAAUGUGAACAAGAAGAUGACACUUGUCAAUUCAAAUGAUAUAAUGUUGUAUGCCCGAGGAAAACAUACACCGUCAAUCAUUAGUUGAAAGGUGUGCCUGAAAUAUGACCUUAGGCAGCAAGAUCAAUGUUAGAGUGACGAUUCAAUAACCAACAGUCUAAGGAAGAACUGUCGAUCGUUAAAUUCAAAGCAAUAGGGUUGCUAGAAGUACAGAACUCAAGCAGCAUCGUUAGUAUAUUGGUAUCCCGGUUAAAAACAACACGCGGACCAAGGAAGAAUGGUGAUGGUGAGAAGUAUCAUCAUACCGAGAAUUUCUAAGAGGUGGAGCAAUCCCCACAACAUUCUCGACAUAAAAGACAGUAAUACUUCAAGGCAGAAUACAACACUAGUUGGAGAGCAAGUUGUAUUCAUAAUGUGGACAAGUUCGCGAUGAAAGGAAGUCAAGGGUGUUGUCGAUGAUAAUAAAAAUCAUCGAGGGCAAGGAGGGUAUUUCUCAUCAUGAACACAGUUGACAUCUCAGAAGAAGUCAAAGUGUUGAAGGUGAUCCGACACAUUUGCCGAGAGGUUUCAAGAGGAUGCAAUCAAACAACAACGACAACAAGCAAGGAAAUGAUGAAGUGGCAAGUUAUAGGAUCAAUAUAUAAGAUGCAAGCUCGGAACCAAAGUUUCCUUUCAAGACAAGCAACAAGAUGUUGAAAGCUCGACGUGAGUCGUGCUCACACACUGAAGAAUUCGUGCACCAGAGAAGGACGAGGUAGCACAGUUAAAGAUAGGAAGACCAGGAUGCAGCCGAUAGUUUAGGAAUGACCAGAUUGGGUUCAAAAUUUCCCAGUAAAAAUACUAGAGGUAUUUGAUUUGUAGUGCGGAAUAAUUUCACUAGUCGGUGUCCUCGGUUGAUAACAACCCAGAACCCGUAGAGUGAUUACGACAAGGAAAGACAUUACUUCAAAAAAGUUAGUAAGAUGUGGCGCAAUGGCCAGACCCCUCCGAGAUACCAGGGGGUAAUACUCGAAGGUAGAACAUGAUAGAAGUAGAACCGGGUCAUUGACCUAUGACAGUAGAUACUUCAACCUUGCCAAAAAUAAAUGAGGCACUGGAAUGAAUUCCCAUCAGAUAUAUUAAAUCAGGACAGAAUGGUCAGAACCAUAACUGUAAGGAAUCAAUUUCAAGAAUACCAAAAGAAUCAUACAUCUGGAUAAUCAUUUCGCAAGAAGCUUCCAAGACGGUCUACAUCAUUUUCAUGGGCAUGAACACCAAGUUCAAGGUUAACUCCUGUCGGUGGAAAAUGACACCUAUGGGACCAACGAGGAUCCCUACUAUGGUUGCGGGGCGCUGGAAGUGGUGAGGAGAGCAGGAUCAACAGUCAGUGCAAACACGCGGCUCGUUUACCCAGGUUCGGGCCGCAAGGUGCGUAAUACCCUAGUCCUGCUUGGAUGUGUAUAUCUGUGUUCUUGAGGAGCUCGAACUAGCUACAGGGAGCAUAACUUCUCCAAGAGUCUGAAUCCUUCUCCUGGAUGCCUUGGGUCUCCUUUUAUAGGCAAAGGGAUCGCCACAGUGGCACCAGGAGGUGGCAUGGGGGUACUGUGGCUAUGCUUAUCGCUAGUCAUUACGGGACAAAACGCAUUAAAUGCGCCCCCGACGUGUCCUCCUUACUUUACCGCCACUCCGCCUCGUCCUGACACGCGCCUGGGCCAGCGAGGUGGUGGCGCCAUGUAGUCAGGCAAGCAGCCGAGGUGGCGCGGUGGUGGAGCCUUCAGGGAGGUUUGCAUGCCACCACGUAGGUACGUGCUGAGUUGGCGGAGGAGCCCCGCGUUGACACGCAGGUUCCUGCCCGGCUGGUGGGCUGGCAGCUGCAUGGGAUUGGCGGUGCAAAGCUUGGCGGGUGCGGGCUUAGCUGUGGCCUCGCGGACGUCCUCGGCAAGGGCCUUGCCGGGGCCCCUGGCAAGGGUCUUGUCGCGGCGUACGGUCGUCCCCGGCAAGGAUCUUGCCGGGGGCCUUGUGGAUUCCCUCGGCAAGGAUUUUGCCGAGGCUCGUCGUACCUCACUCUUCUGAUUAAGAGUGUUGUUCUUUGUCUUCACAAAGAUCUGCAUGCCACCAUGGAGGUGCCUCCCGAGCCCUGGCCCAACGCAGUUGAUGGCGUUGGAAGCCGUAGGCUCAAGGGUGGCUCGCUCCGUUGGUGUUGGGGCGAGCUGCCCCGGCAAGAGUCUUGACGGGGCCGCAGAGGCCUCCCCGGCAAGGAUCUUGCCGGGGGAACCUACUUCGUCCCUCUGCUCUCUGUGAUCUUGGUUUUGGCGUUGCCUUGCUGGUCUUGAAUUCACCUUGGUUCACCUCGCCUGCCUUGCCAAGCGCGGCCAUGGCGCGUGGCUUCGACUGCCCGUGCACAAGUAAAGGGGUCAAAAGGAGAGCCCCUACUUCUGUACACCGACAGGAGCCCCCGGGCCUGGGCCACACAUAGCGCAACACGUUGUUGGGCCAAGCCCAAAAUGGUGCGCGGGCAGGCGGGGCGGUUUUUACCAUGGUAACUUCCUGUCCACUGCUCUUCCCCACGAUCCGCGUUGAAUCGUGCGUCGUGGAGGAGCACGCGUGACGUGGGGGGCAUGCGUGGGACGGUUCCUGCACGCACGCGUCACGUCGUAGUUAAUGGGAAAGGAGGCGACCCGCGCCUUCCCCGUAAAAAGGAAUAACCGCGGGCGCGCUGCUCACUUUACCCCCUCCGCGUUCUCUUCCAAUCUCAGAGCCGCCGCCUCCUUCUCCUCCCCCCUAAGCUUCGUCCAUCACCACCGCGCCUCCGCCAUCUUCCGCCCUCUUGUUCCUCGCAGCUGCUAUGGCGCCCAAAUCCACUAGAGGCAAAGGAGCGGCCAAAGACGCUGGAGUGGCGGAGCAGCCGGAGAGCGAGCUGGUGGCGCGACGGGCGCAGUUCGCCUACUUCCACCCUUCGACGGUCGGUGUGCCUGAGCUCCGGGAGUUCUUCAAGGCCAUGUGGGGAGUGAAGAUGGGAGGAGCAACGACGGGGCAUCCAGCUACGUGCGUCGUUCCGGCCUGCCCCGAACCGGUACCCCUUCUUCGUCGACUAUUUUUCCUGCGGGCUAUGUCCUCCCUUCUCUGAUUUCUUCAAAGACAUCAUGCACACCUAUGGUUUCCGCCUUCUGGAUUUCACUCCGAAUGCCGUGGCGUGCAUGGCUCUCUUCGCGCACCUCUGCGAGGGUUUCGCCGGGGUGCACCCCAGCACGGCACUUUUUCGCCAUUACUUCACCCCUCGGAUCCAAAAGGGCGGCGACAUUGCUGGUUGUGUCGCCUGGAUCUCGAGGUCCAAGGGGGCGUACCCGAACGGCGCCACGAAGGAGAGGUGGGCAAAAUGGCGGGGCCGGUGGUGCUGGAUCGAGGAGGAGAACCCGCCGGCCUUUUGCUGGGUCCGCGACGCGCCGCUGGUUCGAGGAAACGAGUGGAGCGACCUCGACGCCGAUGACGCGAAGCUCAGGGUCGCCACCACAAGGAUUCUUCGGCUUACCCAGGCCGGGCUCACCCUUGAGAUUAUCGGGGCGGACUUCUUCCGCCGCCGAAUCACUCCUCUGCACGACAAGGGGAGGCCGCCCUGGCUUUACACGAAUGCUGCUGACAUCAUGAGGCUUCGUCCUGGCCGCGAUCACAACCUGACGGUGCUGAAGCAUGCCCAUCUCUGCCAGUGGCUCUUCCAGCUCGAGGUCAACGACGAGGGCGAGGUCGAGCGGUCCGGCAAGGCCGCGAGGGACGCAGCGAAGGCAGGCAAGGUCGCCAAGGAGCCUGUCUUUAAGUUGGCGGCGGGGGUGGUCCUGCUGUGCAACAAUUCCCGCCGGUCCGAGAUCAUCACCAUGAUGCCGGAUUUCAACGCGCACGGCCUCGACCCGAACUGAGUCGAUCCGGACGAGCUCCAAGUGCAAGAAUUCUUUGAUACCUUGCAUGAGAGGUAUGUCACCGCCGAGCCACGGCUCAUCCAGGACACCUCCCCGGCGGAGCUGGACUAUAUUGCCGCCAGGGUGGCGGAGGCGAAACUCACCGCGGAAGAGGCGAAGCUUGCCGAGGAGGCCAGCAGCGCCGGCGGCAUGGAAGAUAAGGACGCAACAGUCGUGGAGGAGGAGGAGCUGGCCAGGUGGGCGGAGGCCGCCGGGGAGGCCAGCGGCGCCGGCACCGGGGCUCCUUUUGUUCAAGAGGCGGCCGAUGAGUCGUCGGAGGAGGAAGAGGCCGGGGCUGUCGACCCUCCGGCCUCAGGGAGGAGGCGCAUCUUGCGCCGGGCCACUUCUGGUGAUUCGGCACGCCCCGGGAAGGCCGCGCGGCGGUCCAGAUCUCCGGUGGAGUCUGCGCGUGAGGCGAGAGUGGCGGCGGCAAAGAAAUUGGUGAAGGCCGCGGUGGCGACGAAGAAGGCAUCUGCUUCCUCUUCGUCCAAGCGCAUGCAGACCCCGCCUUCCUCUCCUCCUCCGGCGAGCACCGGCGUGAGGGCCGACUUCGACUUCGGAUCCCUCAGCCCGCCGAGGAAGAGGAAAGCAGCAGAGGAGGAGGUGGACGAUGAGUAAGCAUCCUGAUCUCCUGCCAUCCCCGUCCCCCCAAUUUGUACCGUUUGUCUUGACUUGUCUUCGUCUUUGCAGGGACGUGGACACGCUGGCCCAGCGAAUAAAGAGGACCAAAGCCUCGGCGGGCGGCCAGCCCCCGGCUGGUACUUCAGGGGCGCCACUAGUGGUGUUGAGCAGCCCGGACAGCAGCCCCCGGCACAGCCCCCAGCGUAAGUUCACUACUCUCCCCUUGUCGACAUGUGUUAGGGAUAUGACACUCUGGUGCUGACCUUGCCGGAUGCGUAGGAGGAGAGCGGCAGCAGGAGGAGCCACAAAGGGCUACUCCCAACACGCCGCCCCUGUCGACUACGCCGCCCCGAGGGGCAUCUCCGGCAAGGGCGCCAAGCGCCGAGCCCACGCACAUGGAGUAGAAGGAGGAGAACUUGGGCGCUGGUGGCUUCGCCUCGACGCCAAAUGUUGGUGGGGAGGGGACUUCUGAUUCCCGGCCUGGCACUGGUAAUCUGCUGGCCCGUCGUCCCUGCUUUUCCCUUUCUUUUCGAAAUCUUGACCUUGGCUUUACCCCCGCCCCCUUCGUGAUAUCCAGAUCCUCUCCCAACGGAUCGAGAGGACCCGGACACCGACAUCGAGGACGUGGCCAAGGAUGCCGCGGAGGAGGCCGAGAAGACCGCCGCCGAGGAGGCUGCCAGGGGCGCUGCUGAGGAUGCCGCAGGGGGGCCUGCCGGGGAGGCCUAUAAGGCCGCCGCCGAGGAGAUUGGCAAGGGGCCUGCCGGGGAGGCCGAUAAGGCCACCGCCGAGGAGAUCGGCAAGGGGCCUCCUGGGGAGGCCAGCGAGGCUGCCACCGACGAGACCGGCAAGGGACCCGCCGGGGAGGCCAGCGCGGCCGCUGCCGAGGAGGAGGAGGUGGCUGAUGACCAGCCUUCUUCCUCUGCUGACCCCGGCUCUAGGAAUUACCUGAGGGUGGGUGACAACUUGUUCGUCAACCUCUGAGGCGCGUCGAGCACCAGGGCACCCGCCGAGGGGGAGGUUUUUGACGGCGAAGUGCUUGCCGCCGCCGGGCUUGAGGUCGUCGAUGAGCCGAGCGUCGGUGGCGGCAGCCCCCAGGAGGAGCAGCUGCUCGAGGCCAUGGGCACCAGCUACCGGAAGCUCCAGCCACUCCAGCGUGCUCGCUUUGACAAGGUCAAGUCCUGGGUGGCGGUAGUGGACAAGGCGGAGGCAGACCUCCAGAAGCGCGUCGCUGAGACGCAGGACUGGUUCCGCCAGGCUCACGAGGAGCUGAGGGCCGCCCAGGGUGAGCUGGCCAAGCGUGAUGUGGAGCUCACCAUGAAGCUGGCCGACGUCAAAAAGGCCCAAGAGACGGCGAAGAACCUGGCCGCCGCCGCCGAAGCCACUCGGACUCAGCACGAGGCCGCACUAAACUUCCAGGAAGAGGACCUUGCCGCGCGCGAGGAGAGGCUCACCGCCACGCUUCGCAGCAAGGAUGAAGAGGUUGAGAAGCUUGUCGCACAACGGACCCAAGAGCUGGAGCAGAGGCACAAAGAGGCACUCGAUGCCCAGGCUCUGGUUCACGCCGGCAAGGUGGAGGAGCUGGAGACGGAGCGGGAUGGGCUGAAGGGGCAGGUCCUGAAGCUGUCCCAGGAGAAGGAUACGCUCAACGACGCCUUGAUGGAGGCGCAGGGCGCGGCCAUCAGCAGGGCCGGGGAGCUCUCCGAGGCCACCCAAACCAUCAAAGACCUCACGCUGAAGCUGGAGAGCCUCGAGGGGAUGCUCACGGAGGCCAGAGCCUGGGAGGGGACCCUGACCAAGGAGCUGGAGACCGAGAAGCAGCUGCGGAAGGACGAGGCCGCCACCCACAAGGAUUUCGUGGAUGGUCAGAACCGCUGGAUCGGCCGCCUCGAGGACGUCACCGGAAGUAUCACCACGCAGCUGGCUACCAUGGGGAUGCCAAAUGUGAGGUACGCCCCAGAGCGAAGCAGGACCACCAACGCCAAGCUGACCCUGUUCUUUGAGGUGGUUCUCGGGGCCUUGGAGCAAUUCAGGUCCAGCCGGGCAAGUACCUUGGCCGACGAGUCCCGGCGAAUGUGCCUGGGCGCCAUGACCAAGGUCCUCACCAAGCUGGCCUUCUGGUACCCUGAUCUUGACUGCAACGCCGCGGUGGACAGCUUGCCGGACGACGCGGACCUCUCUGUUGGGGAACGUAGUAAUUUCAAAAAAAUUCCUACGCACAUGCAAGAUCAUGGUGAUGCAUAGCAAUGAGAGGGGAGAGUGUUGUCCACGUACCCUCGUAGACCGAAAGCAGAAGCGUUAACACAACGCGGUUGAUGUAGUCGUACGUCUUCACGAUCCGACCGAUCAAGUACCGAACGCACGGCACCUCUGAGUUCAACACACGUUCAUCUCGAUGACGUCCCUCGAACUCCGAUCCAGCCGAGUGUUGAGGGAGAGUUUCGUCAGCACGACGGUGUGGUGACGAUGAUGAUGUUCUACCGACGCAGGGCUUCGCCUAAGCUCCGCAACGAUAUUAUCGAGGUGUAAUAUGGUGGAGGGGGGCACCGCACACGGCUAAAAUAUCGUAUAUCAAUUGUGUGUUCAGAGGUGCCCCCCUGCCCCCGUAUAUAAAGGAGCAAGGGGGAGGCCGGCUGGCCCUUGGGGCGCGCUAAGGAGGGGGGAGUCCUCCUCCUAGUAGGAGUAGGACUCCCCUUUCCUAGUCCAACUAGGAAGAGAGAAGGGGGAAGGAAAGAGAGGGAGAGGGAGAGGGAAAGAGGGGCUGCGCCCCCCUCCCCUAGUCCAGUUCAGACUCCUCAUGGGAGGGGGCGCGCCACCUCCUGGGCUGCUGCCCUCUCUCUCCCCUCAGGCCCACUAAGGCCCAAUACUUCCCCGGGGGGUUCCGGUAACCCCUCCGGCACUCCGGUUUUAUCCGAAACUUCUCCGGAACACUUCCGGUGUCCGAAUAUACUCAUCCAAUAUAUCAAUCUUUAUGUCUCGACCAUUUCGAGACUCCUCGUCAUGUCCGUGAUCACAUCCGGGACUCCGAAAAACCUUCGGUACAUCAAAACAUAUAAACUCAUAAUAUAACUGUCAUCGUAACUUUAAGCGUGCGGACCCUACGGGUUCGAGAACUAUGUAGACAUGACCGAGACACCUCUCCGGUCAAUAACUAAUAGCGGAACCUGGAUGCUCAUAUUGGUUCCUACAUAUUCUACGAAGAUCUUUAUCCGUCAGACCGCAUAACAACAUACGUUGUUCCCUUUGUCAUCGGUAUGUUACUUGCCCGAGAUUCGAUCGUCGGUAUCUCGAUACCUAGUUCAAUCUCGUUACCGGCAAGUCUCUUUACUCGUUCCGUAAUACAUCAUCCCGCAACUAACUCAUUAGUCACAAUGCUUGCAAGGCUUAUAGUGAUGUGCAUUACCGAGUGGGCCCAGAGAUACCUCUCUGACAAUCGGAGUGACAAAUCCUAAUCUCGAAAUACGCCAACCCAACAAGUACCUUUGGAGACACCUGUAGAGCACCUUUAUAAUCACCCAGGUACGUUGUGACGUUUGGUAGCACACAAAGUGUUCCUCCGGUAAACGGGAGUUGCAUAAUCUCAUAGUCAUAGGAACAUGUAUAAGUCAUGAAGAAAGCAAUAGCAACAUAUUAAACGAUUGGGUGCUAAGCUAACGGAAUGGGUCGAGUCAAUCACAUCAUUAUCCUAAUGAGGUGAUCCCGUUAAUCAAAUGACAACUCAUGUCUAUGGCUAGGAAACAUAACCAUCUUUGAUUAACGAGCUAGUCAAGUAGAGGCAUACUAGUGACACUCUGUUUGUCUAUGUAUUCACACAUGUAUUAUGUUUCCGGUUAAUACAAUUCUAGCAUGAAGAAUAAAUAUUUAUCAUGAUAUAAGGAAAUAAAUAAUACUUUAUUAUUGCCUCUAGGGCAUAUUUCCUUCAGGCUCCCACUUGCACUAGAGUCAAUAAUCUAGAUUACACAGUAAUGAUUCUUACACCCAUGGAGUCUUGGUGCUGGUCAUGUUUUGCUCGUGGAAGAGGCUUAGUCAACGGGUCUGCAACAUUCAGAUCCGUAUGUAUCUUGCAAAUUUCUAUGUCUCCCACCUGGACUAAAUCCCGGAUGGAAUUGAAGCGUCUUUUGAUGUGCUUGGUUCUCUUGUGAAAUCUGGAUUCCUUUGCUAAGGCAAUUGCACUAGUAUUGUCACAAAAGAUUUUCAUUGGUCCCGAUGCACUAGGUAUGACACCUAGAUCGGAUAUGAACUCCUUCAUCCAGACUCCUUUAUUUGCUGCUUCCGAAGCAGCUAUGUACUCCGCUUCACACAUAGAUCCCGCCACGACACUUUGCUUAGAACUGCACCAACUGACAGCUCCACCGUUCGAUGUAAAUACGUAUCCGGUUUGCGAUUUAGAAUCGUCCGGAUCAGUGUCAAAGCUUGCAUCAACAUAACCACUUACGAUGAGCUCUUUGUCACCUCCAUAAACGAGAAACAUAUCCUUAGUCCUUUUCAGGUAUUUCAGGAUGUUCUUGACCGUUGUCCAGUGAUCCACUCCUGGAUUACUUUGGUACCUCCCUGCUAAACUUAUAGCAAGGCACACAUCAGGUCUGGUACACAGCAUUGCAUACAUGAUAGAGCCUAUGGCUGAAGCAUAGGGAACAUCUUUCAUCUUCUCUCUAUCUUCUGCAGUGGUCGGGCAUUGAGUCUUACUCAAUCUCACACCUUGUAGUGCAGGCAAGAACCCUUUCUUUGCUUGAUCCAUUUUGAACUUCUUCAAAACAUUAUCAAGGUAUGUGCUUUGUGAAAGUCCAAUUAAGCGUCUUGAUCUAUCUCUAUAGAUCUUAAUGCCUAAUAUAUAUGCAGCUUCACCGAGGUCUUUCAUUGAAAAACUCUUAUUCAAGUAUCCCUUUAUGCUAUCCAGAAAUUCUAUAUCAUUUCCAAUCAGCAAUAUGUCAUCCACAUAUAAUAUCAGAAAUGCUACUGAGCUGCCACUCACUUUCUUGUAAAUACAGGCUUCUCCAAAAGUCUGUAUAAAACCAAAUGCUUUGAUCACAAUAUCAAAGCGUUUAUUCCAACUCCGAGAGGCUUGCCCCAGUCCAUAAAUGGAUCGUUGGAGCUUGCACACUUUGUUAGCUCCCUUUGGAUCGACAAAACCUUCCGGUUGCAUCAUAUACAACUCUUCUUCCAAAAAUCCAUUCAGGAAUGCAGUUUUGACAUCCAUUUGCCAAAUUUCAUAAUCAUAAAAUGCGGCAAUUGCUAACAUGAUUCGGACAGACUUAAGCAUCGCUACGGGUGAGAAGGUCUCAUCGUAGUCAAUCCCUUGAACUUGUCGAAAUCCUUUCGCAACAAGUCGAGCUUUAUAGACAGUAACAUUACCGUCAGCGUCAGUCUUCUUCUUGAAGAUCCAUUUAUUUUCAAUGGCUUGCCAACCAUCGGGCAAGUCAACCAAAGUCCAUACUUUGUUCUCAUACAUGGAUCCCAUCUCGGAUUUCAUGGCUUCAAGCCAUUUUGCGGAAUCUGGGCUCACCAUCGCUUCUUCAUAGUUCGUAGGUUCGUCAUGGUAUAGUAACAUAACCUCCAGAACAGGACUACCGUACCACUCUGGUGCGGUUCUUGAUCUGGUUGACCUAGAAGGUUCAGUAAUAACUUGAUCUGAAGUUUCAUGAUCAUUAUCAUUAACUUCCCCACUAAUUGGUGUAGGUGUCGCAGAAACUGAUUUCUAUGAUGAUCUACUUUCCAAUAAGGGAGCAGGUACAGUUACCUCAUCAAGUUCUACUUUCCUCCCACUCACUUCUUUCGAGAGAAACUCCUUCUCUAGAAAGGAUCCAUUCUUAGCAACGAAUGUCUUGCCUUCGGAUCUGCGAUAGAAGGUGUACCCAACAGUCUCCUUUGGGUAUCCUAUGAAGACACAUUUCUCCGAUUUAGGUUCGAGCUUAUCAGGUUGAAGUUUCUUCACAUAAGCAUCGCAACCCCAAACUUUAAGAUACGACAACUUUGGUUUCUUGCCAAACCAUAGUUCAUAAGGUGUCGUUUCAACAGAUGUCGAUGGUGCCCUAUUUAGAGUGAAUGCAGCCGUCUCUAAAGCAUAACCCCAAAACGAUAGCGGUAAAUCAGUAAGAGACAUCAUAGAUCGCACCAUAUCUAGUAAAGUACGAUUACGACGUUCGGACACACCAUUAUGCUGUGGUGUUCCGGGUGGCGUGAGCUGCGAAACUAUUCCGCAUUGUUUCAAAUGUAGACCAAACUCGUAACUCAAAUAUUCUCCUCCACGAUCUGAUCGUAGAAACUUUAUUUUCUUGUUACGAUGAUUUUCAACUUCACUCUGAAAUUCUUUGAACUUUUCAAAUGUUUCAGACUUAUGUUUCAUUAAGUAGAUAUACCCAUAUCUGCUCAAAUCAUCUGUGAAGGUGAGAAAAUAACGAUAUCUGCCACGAGCCUCAAUAUUCAUCGGACCACAUACAUCUGUAUGUAUGAUUUCCAAUAAAUCUGUUGCUCUCUCCAUAGUUCCGGAGAACGGUGUUUUAGUCAUCUUGCCCAUGAGGCACGGUUCGCAAGUACCAAGUGAUUCAUAAUCAAGUGAUUCCAAAAGUCCAUCAGUAUGGAGUUUCUUCAUGCGCUUUACACCGAUAUGACCUAAACGGCAGUGCCACAAAUAAGUUGCACUAUCAUUAUCAACUCUGCAUCUUUUGGCUUCGACAUUAUGAAUAUGUGUGUCACUACUAUCGAGAUUCAUUAAAAAUAGACCACUCUUCAAGGGUGCAUGACCAUAAAAGAUAUUAUUCAUAUAAAUAGAACAACCAUUAUUCUCUGAUUUAAAUGAAUAACCGUCUCGCAUCAAACAAGAUCCAGAUAUAAUGUUCAUGCUUAACGCUGGCACCAAAUAACAAUUAUUUAGGUCUAAUACUAAUCCCGAAGGUAGAUGUAGAAGUAACGUGCCGACCACGAUCACAUCGACUUUGGAACCAUUUCCCACGCGCAUCGUCACCUCGUCCUUAGCCAAUCUUCACUUAAUCCGUGGCCCCUGUUUCGAGUUGCAAAUAUUAGCAACAGAACCAGUAUCAAAUACCCAGGUGCUACUGCGAGCAUUAGUAAGGUACACAUCAAUAACAUGUAUAUCACAUAUACCUUUGUUAAUCUUGCCAUCCUUCUUAUCUGCCAAAUACUUGGGGCAGUUCCGCUUCCAGUGACCAGUCUGCUUGCAGUAGAAGCACUCAGUUUCAGGCUUAGGUCCAGACUUGGGUUUCUUCUCCUGAACAGCAACUUGCUUGCUGUUCUUCUUGAAGUUCCCCUUCUUCUUCCCUUUGCCCUUUUUCUUGAAACUAGUGGUUUUACUAACCAUCAACACUUGAUGCUCCUUUUUGAUUUCUACCUCCGCUGCCUUUAGCAUUGCGAAGAGCUCGGGAAUUGUCUUAUUCAUCCCUUGCAUGUUAUAGUUCAUCACGAAGCUCUUGUAGCUUGGUGGCAGUGAUUGAAGAAUUCUGUCAAUGACGCUAUCAUCCGGAAGAUUAACUCCCAGUUGAAUCAAGUGAUUAUUAUACCCAGACAUUUUGAGUAUAUGCUCACUGACAGAACUAUUCUCUUCCAUCUUGCAGAUGUAGAACUUAUUGGAGACUUCAUAUCUCUCAAUCCGGGAAUUUGCUUGAAAUAUUAACUUCAACUCCUGGAACAUCUCAUAUGCUCCAUGACAUUCAAAACGUCGUUGAAGACCCGGUUCUAAGCCGUAAAGCAUGGCACACUGAACUAUCGAGUAGUCAUCAGCUUUGCUCUGCCAGACGUUCAUAACUUCUGGUGUUGCUCUUGUAGGAGGCCUGGCACCUAGCGGUGCUUCCAGGAUGUAAUUCUUCUGUGCAGCAAUGAGGAUAAUCCUCAAGUUACGGACCCAGUCCGUGUAAUUGCUACCAUCAUCUUUCAACUUUGCUUUCUCAAGGAACGCAUUAAAAUUCAACGGAACAACAGCACGGGCCAUUUAUCUACAAUUAACAUAGACAGGCAAGAUACUAUCAGGUACUAAGUUCAUGAUAAAUUCAAGUUCAAUUAAUCAUAUUACUUAAGAACUCCCACUUAGAUAGACAUCCCUCUAAUCAUCUAAGUGAUUACGUGAUCCAAAUCAACUAAACCAUGUCCGAUCAUCACGUGAGAUGGAGUAGUUUCAAUGGUGAACAUCACUAUGUUGAUCAUAUCUACUAUAUGAUUCACGCUCGACCUUUCGGUCUCCGUGUUCCGAGGCCUUAUCUGCAUAUGCUAGGCUCGACAAGUUUAACCUGAGUAUUCCGCGUGUGCAACUGUUUUGCACCCGUUGUAUUUGAACGUAGAGCCUAUCACACCCGAUCAUCACGUGGUGUCUCAGCACGAAGAACUUCCGCAACGGUGCAUACUCAGGGAGAACACUUUUAUCUUGAAAUUUUAGUGAGAGAUUAUCUUAUAAUGCUACCGUCAAUCAAAGCAAAAUAAGAUGCAUAAAAGAUUAACAUCACAUGCAAUCAAUAUAAGUGAUAUGAUAUGGCCAUCAUCAUCUUGUGCUUGUGAUCUCCAUCUCCGAAGCACCGUCAUGAUCACCAUCGUCACCGGCGCGACACCUUGAUCUCCAUCGUAGUAUCGUUGUCGUCUCGCCAACUUAUUGCUUUUACGACUAUCGCUACCGCUUAGUGAUAAAGUAAAACAAUUACAUGGCAAUUGCAUUGCAUACAAUAAAGCGACAACCAUAUGGCUCCUGCCAGUUGCCGAUAACUCGGUUACAAAACAUGAUCAUCUCAUACAAUAAAAUAUAGCAUCAUGUCUUGACCAUAUCACAUCACAACAUGCCCUGCAAAAACAAGUUAGACGUCCUCUACUUUGUUGUUGCAAGUUUUACAUGGCUGCUACGGGCUUAGCAAGAACCGUUCUUACCUACGCAUCAAAACCACAACGAUAGUUUGUCAAGUUGGUGCUGUUUUAACCUUCGCAAGGACCAGGCGUAGCCACACUCGGUUCAACUAAAGUGAGAGAGACAGACACCCGCCAGUCACCUUUAAGCAACGAGUGCUCGCAACGGUGAAACCAGUCUCGCGUAAGCGUACGCGUAAUGUCGGUCCGGGCCGCUUCAUUUCACAAUACCGCUGAACCAAAGUAUGACAUGCUGGUAAGCAGUAUGACUUAUAUCACCCACAACUCACUUGUGUUCUACUCGUGCAUAGCAUCAACGCAUAAAACCAGGCUCGGAUGCCACUGUUGGGGAACGUAGUAAUUUCAAAAAAAUUCCUACGCACACACAAGAUCAUGGUGAUGUAUAGCAACGAGAGGGGAGAGUGUUGUCCACGUACCCUCGUAGACCGAAAGCGGAAGCGUUAACACAACGCGGUUGAUGUAGUCGUACGUCUUCACCAUCCGACCGAUCAAGUACCAAACGCACGGCACCUCCGAGUUCGGCACAUGUUCAGCUCGAUGACGUCCCUCGAACUCUGAUCCAGCCAAGUGUUGAGGGAGAGUUUCGUCAGCACGGCGGCAUGGUGACGAUGAUGAUGUUCUACCGACGCAGGGCUUCGCCUAAGCUCCGCAACGAUAUUAUCGAGGUGUAAUAUGGUGGAGGGGGACACCGCACACGGCUAAAAUAUCGUAUAUCAAUUGUGUGUUCAGAGGUGCCCCCCUGCCCCCGUAUAUAAAGGAGCAAGGGGGAGGCUGGCUGGCCCUUGGGGCGCGCCAAGGAGGGGGGAAGUCCUCCUCCUAGUAGGAGUAGGACUCCCCUUUCCUAGUCCAACUAGGAAGAGAGAAGGGGUAAGGAAAGAGAGGGAGAGGGAGAGGGAAAGAGGGGCUGCGCCCCCCUCCCCUAGUCCAAUUCGGACUCCUCAUGGGAGGGGGCACGCCACCUCCUGGGCUGCUGCCCUCUCUCCCCUCAGGCCCACUAAGGCCCAAUACUUCCCCGGGGGCUUCCGGUAACCCCUCCGGCACUCCGGUUUUAUCCGAAACUUCUCCGGAACACUUCCGGUGUCCGAAUAUAGUCGUCCAAUAUAUCAAUAUUUAUGUCUCGACCAUUUCGAGACUCCUCGUCAUGUUCGUGAUCACAUCCGGGAGUCCGAACAACCUUCGGUACAUCAAAAUAUAUAAACUCAUAAUAUAACUGUCAUCGUAACUUUAAGCGUGCGGACCCUACGGGUUCGAGAACUAUGUAGACAUGACCGAGACACCUCUCCGGUCAAUAACCAAUAGCGGAACCUGGAUGCUCAUAUUGGUUCCUACAUAUUCUACGAAGAUCUUUAUCGAUCAGACCGCAUAACAACAUACGUUGUUCCCUUUGUCAUUGGUAUGCUACUUGCCCGAGAUUCGAUCGUCGGUAUCUCGAUACCUAGUUCAAUCUCGUUACCGGCAAGUCUCUUUACUCGUUCUAUAAUACAUCAUCCCACAACAAACUCAUUAGUCACAAUUCUUGCAAGGCUUAUAGUGAUGUGCAUUACUUAGUGGGCCCAGAGAUACCUCUCCGACAAUCGGAGUGACAAAUCCUAAUCUCGAAAUACGCCAACCCAACAAGUACCUUUGGAGACACCUGUAGAGCACCUUUAUAAUCACCCAGUUGCGUUGUGACGUUUGGUAGCACACAAAGUGUUCCUCCGGUAAACGGGAGUUGCAUAAUCUCAUACUCAUAGGAACGUGUAUAAGUCAUGAAGAAAGCAACAGCAACAUACUAAACGAUUGGGUGCUAAGCUAAUGGAAUGGGUCAAGUCAAUCACGUCAUUCUCCUAAUGAGGUGAUCCCGUUAAUCAAAUGACAACUCAUGUCUGUGGCUAGGAAACAUAACCAUCUUUGAUUAACGAGCUAGUCAAGUAGAGGCAUACUAGUGACACUCUGUUUGUCUAUGUAUUCACACAUGUAUUAUGUUUCUGGUUAAUACAAUUCUAGCAUGAAUAAUAAACAUUUAUCAUGAUAUAAGGAAAUAAAUAAUACUUUAUUAUUGCCUCUAGGGCAUGUUUCCUUCACUCUCUGGGAUCGAGGAGCGCAUCGAGCCCGUCACCCGCUGCGUCGGCGGAAUCCAGAGGGUGGAGGGCCAGCGCUGGGACUAGGUGCUCUGUUUUCUGUUGCCGCUGCGGGUUCAUGACCAAGACAAUUCAAUUCUUUAGCUAGAACCGCAGCAACGAUUUGAUGUAAUAUAACUCUGCAGUACUUUUGAUAUCAUGCAUAUUAUUUUCCCGUUCAAUUUCCCUGCAUAUGUCCACCCUACGUUAACUGGGGAGGCUUGCCGGCGCGUAAACCCAGGGUGGUGUUUUGGGGACGGAUCCCCAUUGGCCUGCCGAGUGCGCUUGCUGUCGGGCGAACCACCUUACCGCCCUUGACGUGGCCGCCCGACCUGUCGAGCUUGACUCGAGUCAGAAUCGGGAGCGCUGCCAAUUGCGGAAGGCUACCCUGCCACUUUCGACGCGGCUGCUUGAGCUGUUGAGCGGACUCGAAACAGAACAAGAGCGUUGCCAAUCGUGGAAGGGCCCCUUUGCGUGCAGGCUUCCAUACAUAGGGCAAAAUCUCAGGGACGAUAAUCUUAUAUUAAGAAGAAAAGUCUAAAGUUUUGAGUGACUUAGCUCUUUCGUUGCCGCGCUGGCGUCAUACGCGUUCACAGGUGGCGUCCUUUUCUUCUGGCCAUCUCCUUCUUGGGAACCAUGGCGAUGAAGAGUCGUGCUACUGGCUGUAGAACCAGAUGCUCACUACUGCGUUUCCCCCUACCUAGCGCGCCAAAGAUGUCGGUGGAAAACGACACCUAUGGGACCAACGAGGAUCCCUACUACGGUUGCGGGGCGCUGGAAGUGGUGAGGAGAGCAGGAUCAACUGUCAGUGCAAACAUGCGGGUCGUUUACCCAGGUUCGGGCCGCAGGGUGCGUAAUACCCUAGUCCUGCUUGGAUGUGUAUAUCUGUGUUCUUGAGGAGCUCGAACUAGCUACAGGGAGCGUAACUUGUCCAAGAGUCCGAAUCCUUCUCCUGGAUGCCUUGGGUCUCCUUUUAUAGGCAAAGGAAUUGCCACGGUGGCACCAGGAGGUGGCAUCGGGGGUACUGUGGCUAUGCUUAUCGCUAGUCAUUAUGGGACAAAACGCAUUAAAUGUGCCCCCGACAUGUCCUCCUUACUUUACCGCCGCUCCGCCUCAUCCUGACACGCGCUUGGGCUAGCGAGGUGGUGGCGCCAUGUAGUCAGGCAAGCAGUUGAGGUGGCGCGGUGGUGGAGCCUUCAGGGAGGUUUGCAUGCCACCACGUAGGUACGUGCUGAGUUGGCGGAGGAGCCCCGCGUUGACACGCAGGUGCCUGCCCGGCUGGUGGGCUGGCAGCUGCUUGGGAUUGGCGGUGCAAAGCUUGGCGGGUGCGGUCCUAGCUGUGGCCUCGCGGACGCCUCAGCAAGGGCCUUGUCGGGGCCCCCGGCAAGGGUCUUGUCGCAGCGUACGGUCGUCCCCGGCAAGGAUCUUGCCGGGGGCCUUGUGGAUUCCCUCGGCAAGGAUUUUGCCGAGGCUCGUCGUAUCUCACUCUUCUGAUUAAGAGUGUUGUUCUUUGUCUUCACGAAGAUCUGCAUGCCACCAUGGGGGUGCCUCCCGAGCUCUGGCCCAACGCAGUUGAUGGCGUUGGAAGCCGUAGGCUCAAGCUCCGUUGGUGUUGGGGCGAGCUGCCCUGGCAAGAGUCUUGCCGGGGCCGCAGAGGCCGCCCUGGCAAGGAUCUUGCCGGGGGAACCUGCUUCGUCUCUCUCCUCUCCGUGGUCUUGGUUUUGGCGUUGCCUUGCUGGUCUUGAAAUCACCAUGGUUCACCUGCCCUGCCUUGCCAAGCGCGGCCGUGGCGCGUGGCUUUGACUGCCCGUGCACAAGUAAAGGGGUCAAAAGGAGAGCCCCUACUUCUGUACACCGACAACUCCCACUUCUUUAAUGCAUAUCAUUUCAUUCACCUCUCGCUUUGAUAUAACUGUAGUGUUGGAAUUUUAUCUGGUAGAACACCAGAAGAGUAUGACUUGUGAAAACUUUCGGGUUCUCAUGGAUUAGGGGAAGGCAUAGGUUCAACCCAUCGGGCAUCUUAGUAACAUAUACCACAAGUUUCAAAAGUAAAUACACAAGCUCGAAAGCAGAGCAUGGUCGGCCAAGCAGAGGAUACAAUUUACCAAAGGCAUUAUGUAUCAGGGGAAGAACUCACAAGGUGAUUGAAUAUGAAGGAAACUGUCGGAUAAAAAUCCAACAAUGGAUCGGGCGAUCCACAAUGGAGCUGAUGUGAGUAUCGGUACUCACUCAGAGGAAGAAAGAAUGCGGAGGCAUCAGAUUCAAGAAUCACCUGAUUAGUCUGAUGCUUAAAUAGAAAGAAAUUAUGGUUUCCAAAACAAAGGAUUAGAAGUAGACGCUCUGAUCAAGGAUGGAUAAGUUGAAAACACUUAGUUGGAUAAUCAAUAAAGGUUUCCAUUGCCGAGAACCAACUCAUGUCCGGAAUGACGUCUGAGUCGGAAGGAUAAUUUUAAAAAGGAUAACCUGAUGACUGCGUGCAUAAGCACAUAUUGUAUCAAUAGGCUCAAAAUGACUAUGACAAGGGAUGUUAACGAGGACUACUAGUAAUAUGGGAUUAACCAUAAUGCAAGCAGACAAGAGUUUCAAGAGUAACAGGCUGCAGAGGUUUUUCGAAAGAUCGAAAAGUAUUCCGAAGAAUUAUGUGAGACACAUGAACAAUUGAGAAGAACGGAUCCUCGAUAAAUGUGAGAAAAAACCCGUAAGGGUUUUCAUGCGAAAUAAAACUGCAAGACAGUAAACUCAAAGGAUUCUUGGGACAAUCGGAGAAUAUCUCGAGGCAUCUUGUAACAACAAGAGCGAUGAGGAAUGAUCAAGAGAAUGACAAGUGCAUGCAGAUAUCCACAGGGAUAAGUCGGUGACAGUGAAUUGCAAAGGCGAUGAGCACAAGGGUCUCGGGAAAAUAUCGAGGGAUAUCCUCAGAAUCUUCUGACGAAGCAGGUGAUCUUCCGGAAUGAGGGCUCUUCGGGAGAAAUAGUUACGAGAACCUAGAGUUAGAGUUAGCAAAAUCAUUUAACCCGAAUAGAAGAGAGAUCAGAGUCCCAGAGUAUAGACGAGGAGUAAAAGAUCCUAAUACCACCCAAUGGCGACGUGGGCCCGUAAGCCACACAACCAUGUUAGUAAAAACUUUUUCAAUGACUAGACUCAACUUCAGCCAAGGAGUUUGGAAGGGGGAUUCCUACAGGCAGUCGGCUCUGAUACCAACUUGUGACGCCCCCGAUUCAAUCGUACACUAAUCAUCCACACAAAUGUGUACGAUCAAGAUCAGGGACUCACGGGAAGAUAUCACAACACAACUCUAAAAGUAAAAUAAGUCAUACAAACAUCAUAUUACAAGCCAGGGGCCUCGAGGGCUCGAAUACAAGUGCUCGAACAUAAAUGAGUCAGCGGAAGCAACAAUAUCUGAGUACAGACAUAAGUUAAACAAGUUGCCAUAAGAAGGCUAGCACAAACUGGGAUACAGAUUGAAAGAGGCGCAGGCCUCCUGCCUGGGAUCCUCCUAAACUACUCAUGGUCGUCGUCAGCGGCCUGCACGUAGUAGUAGCCACCUCCAGUGUAGUAGGAUUCAUCAUCGACGGUGGUGUCUGGAUCCUGGGCUCCAACGUCUGGUUGCGGCAUCCGAGAAGAAAAGGAAAGAGGGGGAAAAGAGGGAGCAAAGCAACCGUGAGUACUCAUCCAAAGUACUCGCAAGAAAGGAUCUACACUACAUAUGCAUCGGUAUAUGUGUAAAGAGGCAAUAUCGGUGGACUGAACUGCAGAAUGCCAGAAUAAGAGGGGGAUAGCUUGUCCUAUUGAAGACUACGCUUCUGGCAGCCUCCGUCUUGUAGCAUGUAGAAGAGAGUAGAUUGAAGUCCUCCAAGUAGCAUCGCAUAGCAUAAUCCUACCCGGCGAUCCUCCCCUCGUCGCCCUGUGGAAAAGCGAUCGCCGGGUUGUCUCUGGAACUUGUCUGGGUGUGUUUUAUUAAGUAGGUAACACCUAAUGCUGCUCUAACAAUUUGGACUAAGAAAUAACAAUGUAAUCCACUAAUGAUGCUCUGCUCUGCUCUUGUUAGGUAACACAUAAUGCUGCUCUGCUCUAGUUAGGACUCAUGUAAUCCACUAUAAUUAUCUGCUCUAGUUAGGACUAGCAAUUAGAGUGCUAAACAUGCAGGCAGUAAACCCUAACCCUAAUCCCCAAUUUCAGUUAGCAAGAAUGGAACAGUGGAGCACUUACAGAACACCACCGAAGCCAUGAGUCCAGUGAUGGGCGGUGCUAGGGUUGGCCACCCAAAUUCGCGCCAUCCGUAGCCUCUGCUCCAUCGACAACGCCGGCUCCACAAAAUCUUCGUCCUCGCUACUGUACUCCGAGCUGGAGUAGCCGCCACUGCCAUCGAGGCCUAAGCGGGGGAGGUUGCCACCGCUCGCAUCGCCCCGGCCCUCGCCGCCUGCCGGAGUCGCCGAGGCCAUCGUCUCCUAGGGCACAACAGCCACGGGGGAGAGGAGGGUGCGAGGGAGGAGCAGCCGCGGGGGAGGGGACAGCGCCUAAGUAGUUCGAUCCAUGGCUACGGCGACGUGGUGUGGCGGGCGGCGGGGUGGGCGGGGAGGCAGCCGCCGAUGAGGGUGCGGGGAGAAGGAAGAGGGCAGAAUGGGGUCGGGGUCGGGGUCUGGCUAGGUCGUACCAGCGAGGCCUAAACGGUGCGAGCCGGCCUCGUCCUAGUCAGUGCGCAGUCAGCGCGCGGGCACGCGCACACUGGCCAGCGUGGCGCCUGACGGGCGGGCCCAACCGGUCAGUUUCUCUGUCAAUACGUAUAAAACACACUUUGAACCUUUUUUGCAACGGCUCGCCCCAAUCUUGGUACUGACACGUAAAAAUUACCAAUCUUGGUACCAAUCUGCUUCCAAUGCCCCAAUUGUGGUACUUCUGUGCAAUUUACUCUGGUUUAAUAAAUCUCGAUCGUAGUGAUACACAUAUUCGUAAUAUCGAUGCCAAAAGAUGCAAAGUUGAUAAUGAUAGUGCAACAUAAUUGUGGCACUGCCAUUUAGGUCAUAUUGGUGUAAAGCGCAUGAAGAAACUCCAUGCUGAUGGGCUUUUGGAAUCACUUGAUUAUGAAUCAUUUGAUAUUUGCGAAUCAUGCCUCAUGGGCAAGAUGACAAAAACUCAGUUCUCCGGAACAAUGGAGCGAGCCAAUGACUUACUAGAAAUAAUACAUACCGAUGUAUGUGGUCCGAUGAGUUUUGAGGCUCGCAGCGGGUAUUCAUUAUUUUUUGACCUUCACAAAUGAUUUGAGCAGAUAUGGGUAUAUCUACUUAAUGAAACACAAGUCUGAAACAUUUGAAAGGUUCAAAGAAUUUUAGAGUGAAGUGGAGAAUCAUCGUAACAAGAAAAUAAAGUUUCUAUGAUCUGAUCGCGGAGGUGAAUAUUUGAGUUACUAGUGUGGCCUUCAUUUAAAACAAUGUGGAAUAGUUUCACAACUCACGCCACCUGGAACACUACAGCGUAAUGGUGUGUCCGAACGUCGUAACCGUACUCUAUUACAUAUGGUGCAAUCUAUGAUGUCUCUUACCGAUUUACCACUAUUGUUUUGGGUUAUGCAUUAGAGACAACUUCAUUCACGUUAAAUAGGGCACCAUCAAAAUCCGUUGACGACACCGUAUGAACUGUGGUUUGGCAAUAAACCUAAGCUGUCGUUUCUUAAAGUUUGGUGUUGCGACACUUAUGUCAAAAGGCUUCAGCCUGAUAAGCUCGAACCCAAAUCAGAGAAGUGCAUCUUCGUAGGAUACCUUCAAGAAACAAUUGGGUACACCUUCUACCAUAGAUCCAAAGGAAAGAUAUUUGUUGCCAAGAAUGGAACCUUUCUAGAGAAGGAGUUUCUCUCGAAAGAAGUGAGUGGGAGGAAAGUAGAACUUGAUGAGGUAAUUGUACCUUCUCUCAAUUUGGAAAGUAGCUCAUCCGAGAAAUCCAUUCCCGUGAUGCUUACACCAACUAGAGUGGAAGCUAAUGAUAAUGAUCAUGAAACUUCAGAUCAAGUUACUAUUAAUCAUUGUAGGUCAACCAGAGCAUGAUCCGCACCAGAGUGGUAUGGUAAUCCUGUUCCGGAAGUCAUGUUACUUGACCAUGACGAACCUACGAACUAUGAAGAAGCUAUGAUGAGCCCAUUUUCUGAUAAAUGGCUUGAGGCCAUGAAAUCUGGGAUAGGAUCCAUGUAUGAGAACAAAGUGUGGACUUUUGUGGAUUUGCUCGAUGAUCGGCAAUCCAUAGAGAAUAAAUGGAUCUUCAAGAAGAAGAUUGAAGCUGAUGGUAAUGUUACUGUCUACAAAGCUCGAUCUGUCGCAAAAGAUUUUUGACAAAUUCAAGGGGUUGACUACGAUGAGACUUUCUCAACCGUAGUAGUCCGUACAAAUCAUGUUAGCAAUUGCCACAUUUUAUGAAAUCUGGCAAAUGGAUGUCAAAACUACAUUCCUUAAAUGGAUAUCUCUAAGAAGAGUUGUAUAUGAUGCAACCAGAAGGUUUUGUCGAUCCUAAAGGUGCUAACAAGUUGUGCAAGCUCCAGCGAUCCAUCUAUGGACUGGUGCAAGCAUCUCGGAGUUGGAAUAUACGCUUUGAUGAGGUAAUCGAAGCAUAUAGUUUUAUACAGACUUAUAGUGAAGCCUGUAUUUACAAUAAAGUGAGUGGGAGCUCUGUAGCAUUUCUGAUAUUAUAUGUGGAUGACAUAUUGUUGAUCAGAAAUGAUAUAGAAUUUCUGGAUAGCAUAAAAGGAUACUUGAAUAAGAAUUUUUCAAUGAAAGAUUUCGGUAAAGCUGCUUACAUAUUGGGCAUCAAGAUCUAUAGAGAUAGAUCAAGAUGCUUGAUAAGAUUUUCAAUGAGUACAUACCUUGACAAGUUUUUGAAAAGGUUCAAAAAUGGGCCAGUCAAAGAAAGGGUUCUUGUCUGUGUUGAAAGGUGUGAAGUUGAGUAAGACUCAAAGCCUGACCACGACAGAAGAUAGAGAGAGAAUGAAAGUCAUUCCCUAUGCCUCGGUCAUAGGUUCUAAAAAGUAUGCCAUGCUGUGAACCAGACCUGUUGUCUUCCUUGCCAAUGAGUUUGGCAAGGGGUUACAAUAGUGAUCCAGGAGUAGAUCACUAGAUAGCGGUCAAAAUUAUCCCUAGAGGACUAAGGAAAUAUUUGUCGGUUAUGGUGGAGAUAAAGAGUUCGUCGUAAAGAGUUACGUCGAUGCAAGCUUUUACACUGAUCCAGAUGACUCGAAAGUCUCAAUCUGGAUACGUAUUGAAAAUGGAAGCAAUUAGCUAGAGUAGCUCCAUGCAAAGCAUUGUAGACAUAGAAAUUUGCAAAAUACAUACGGAUCAGAAUGUGGCAGACCCAUUGACUAAACUUCUCUCACAAGCAAAACAUGAUCACACCUUAGUACUCUUUGGGUGUUUAUCACAUAACGAUGUGAACUAGAUUAUUGACUCUAGUAAACCUUUUGGGUAUUGGUCACAUGGCGAUGUGAACUAUGGGUGUUAAUCACAUAAAGAUGUGAUCUAUUGGUGUUAAAUCACAUGGCGAUGUGAACUAGAUUAUUGACUCUAGGGCAAGUGGGAGACUGAAGGAAAUACGCCCUAGAGGCAAUAAUAAAUGUUUAUUAUUCAAGCUAGAAUUGUAUUAACCGGAAACUUGAUACAUGUGUGAAUACAUAGACAAAAAUACCGUGUCCCUAGUAAUCCUCUACUAUACUAGCUCUUUAAUCAAAGAUGGUUAAGUUUCCUAACCAUAGACAUAUGUUGUCAUUUGAUGAACAGGAUCACAUCAUUAGUAGAAUGAUGUGAUGGACAAGACCCAUUCGUUAGCUUAGCAUUAUGAUCGUUCAGCUUUAUUGCUUUUGCUUUCUUCAUGUCAAAUACAUAUUCCUUCGACUAUGAGAUUAUGCAACACUCCCGGAUACUGGAGGAAUGCCUUGUGUGCUAUCAAACGUCACAACGUAACUGCGUGAUUAUAAAGAUGUUCUACUGGUAUCUCCGAAGGUGUUUUUUGGGUUGGCAUAGAUCGGGAUUAGGAUUUGUCACUCCGAGUAUCAGAGAGUUAUCUCUGGGCCCUCUCGGUAAUGCACAUCAUAAGAAACGUUGCAAGCAAAGUGACUAAUGAGUUAGUUGCAGGAUGAUGCAUUACGGAACGAGUAAAGAGACUUGCCGGUAACGAGAUUGAACUAGGUACCGAGAUACCGACGAUCAAAUCUCGGGCAAGUAACAUACCGAUGACAAAGGGAACAACGUAUGUUGUUAUGCGGUUUGACCGAUAAAGAUCUUCGUAGAAUAUGUUGGAACCAAUAUGAGCAUCCAGGUUCCGCUAUUGGUUAUUGACCGGAGAGGUGUCUCGGUCAUGUCUACAUAGUUCUUGAACCCGUAGGUUCCGCACGCUUAACGUUCGAUGACGAUUUGUAUUAUAUGAGUUAUGUGAGUUGGUGAGCGGAUGCUGUUCGGAGUCCCGGAUGAGAUCAUGGACAUGACGAAGAGGGCGAGCCCCCUCUUGCCUUCUCUUCCACAUGCUAGGAAAAUAAAAGGGGAGCGCCUCCCCUCUUGCCUUCUCCCGCACGCGCCAACAAGGAAAGGGGGGCGACUAGGGCAGGUGCCCAGCUAGGGCGGCCGCCGGCCCCCUUGGGGCACGCCCUAGGUAGCCUCCCCUCCCCCUCCACCUAUAUAUAUGCGAGGAGGGGAGGGGGCAACACACACCACGAUUCCCAAGCUGUGUGCGCCGCCCCCUCUCCCUCUAGUUCCUCCUCUGUCCAAAUCCAUUAUGCUUAGUGAAGCCUUGCGGAAAAGUUUCACCACCACCGUCACCACGCCAUCCUGCUGCCAGAACUCAUGUACUACUUCGCCCUUCUUGCUGGAUCGAGAAGGCGAGGACGUCAUCGAGAUGACUGUGUGCUAAAUGCGAAGGUGUCGUGCGUUCGGUGCUUGAUCGGUACAGAUCGUGAAGAUGUACGACUACAUCAACCAUGUUGAUAAACGCUUCCGCUUAGUGAUCUACAAGGGUAUAUAGAUGCUCUCCCCCUCUCGUAGCUAUGCAUCUCCAUGGAUAGAUCUUGCGUGUGCGUAUAAUUUUUUUUGUUUUCCAUGCAACGUUCCCCAACAUUCACUUAUAUAGCAAGUAUAAGUUGGUUUUUCACGCAUGAAAAUUUACAGAUGGAUUCCUUGAAUUUUUCUGAUAAUUUUUCAUAUAUAAAUUAUUUCAUUCUGAGCUAUGGUUAAUUUUCUAUGAAUUUUUGAAGUUUAAACAAUUUUCUGGAAUUUAUAAAUCAUUUCUGAAAUAUAAUUUCGCUAGAAAAGGAUUAUGACGUCAACAUGAGGUCAUCACGGUGUCAGCAGGUCAACUGGACUGCCCCUGGUCAAAUCUGACCAGUGGGGCCCACUGGUCAGUGACUCAGUCACUAACUAAGUUAAUUAGGGUUAAACUAAAUUUAAUCUAAAGAUUAGCCGGAGCAGGGCCCACAUGUCAGCGACCCGGGGUGGAAAAACCCCCGGUCAAAAGGGGUCAAAUCCACCGGCGACUUGACGUCGGCGGGGGCAGACGUGGCGGCGAGCUGCGGGAAUCGCCCUCCGACAUCCAAAUGGACGGCCGAGGCCAUCUACGUCAAGCCUAGGCCCAUGCGCGUCCGACGGGACAUGCGGGGGGUGGCUAGAGACGUCACCGGUGUCGACCCAGGCCGCUGCCAGAGCUCGGGUGAUCUCGGGGUCGAGGCUACGGUGGCCAUGGUGUUGCGUGCAUAGCACAUAGGGCAUCUAGGCGGAGCGGCAAGCGCAUUGGACGUGCGCCCGAGAUCAAAUGGUCAUCGGAGCAUCGGCAGUGGCGAGCGUAGGCGGCGGCGGGUUCGGGCACAGGUGGUGCGACGACUACAACGUGCGACAGAGGAAACAAAGAGCGGGGUUCGAGGGAGAGGCUCACGGUGAUUCCUACGGUGUGGACGGCAAGCUUAGAGGAGGACCGGAGCGAAUGGGGUGGCAGAGGCGAUCUCGGCGGCUGAAGGUUGAAGACGAGCGGCCUAGCGGCGUGGUUCGAUCUGUUCUCUUGGGCGGCGGCUGGCCCCGAGACACCACUUAUAACGCGGGACCUUUAGUCCUGGCUCCAGCCACGAACCGGGACUAAAGGUCCUUUAGUCCCGGCUCCAACCACGAACAGGGACUAAAGGCCAAUCUUUAGUCCUGACUCCAGCCACGAACCGAGACUAAAGGUCCUUUUUGGCGGCCAAAUUCCAUGCGGGAGCUCAAACCUUUAGUCCGAGCUGGUGGUUGCAACCGGGACUAAAGGUGACUUUCAAUUAAUUUUUAUUUUGAAGAAAUUGUUUGACAGAUUCAAUUUUACAUAUUGAAAUUAAUUCUUGUAAAAUGCAUAACAAUUCGAAAACUAAACCAAAUGAGUUGAUUCAAAAUUCUGUGGAUUCAUCUUAAAGAUUUUGAUCAACUAGUAUCAUUUUUUCAGGAAGUUGCAUAAUUAAUUUCUCACUUAUUAAUCAAAUACGGUAAUUGAAGACAUUGUUUUAAACAUUAAAAUUCAUAUCUUCAGUUCUGUUAAGCCAAAUGGAGCAAAUAAGACAUCAAAUUGUUUGCCUGAACAUAACCUACACAUUCAUAUUUAAAGGCUUUUUCUUAAGGCCAGGAAUGGUCUUUCAUAGGUCAAAACCCUCAAUUACCCUUUGUGCAUAUUUCAAGCUUUUGAAAUAUUUACAAAGGAAAUAUUCACCAUAAAUUCCAAGAAAAUUCUAGCAUGUCACAAAUGCCAUAUUUGAUUAUCUUGCCAAGUCCCAUGUCUUGGAGAACAAGAUAACAUCAUCAGAUUCCCUGAAAACCAUCUCUGUCCAUUUUCUAGUUUGAGCAAAUUUACAUCGCUAAACAUGUCCAAAUGAGCUCAAACUUGGUACACAUGCUAAAAUGGUCUAAAUAUUCAUCUAGGCCAAGUGGUGCAUCAAGGAGAACAAAUUAGCUCUGUCAAAGUAUGCCAAAACCAAUUAUGUCCAUUUCUAGGGUUUGACAAAGUUACAUCGGCAACUUUCUCUCGUUGAUCUCAAAUUUUUACCACAUUGCCAGAUCAUCAUGAGCAUCACCCCCAUCAAGUGGCACAAGUUGGAGAACAAGUUAACUUGAUCAAAGCUUGUCAAAACCAUUUCUGCACAUUUCUAGGGUUUGAAAUAUUUACAUUGCCAAGUUUCUUCGAAUGAGCUGCAAAUUUGCACACUAGGUCAAAUUGAUACCAAGAUCAUUCCCGUUAAACUACAAAGCCAUUGGAUUCCUCUAAGUACCUCUAUUCAUCAUCAAACACCUUCUGCCAAAAUCUUGUGGUCAAUGAUUGGGGGUACCAAAUGGAUUCUCCUUUAGCUCAAAUUUUUACCAGAGCUCACCCUAGUCAUAUUCUACCUAUAGUAACUCUCUCUCUUCCAUAGCUCAAUAAUUCAGGGGUGAAAACCCUCACUUUACCAAAUGGAGCAAAUAAGAUGUCAAAUUGUUUGUCUUAACAUAACCUACACAUUCAUAUUUUGUUUGGACAUAAUUGCAUCGGUUAACUCCUCUGUAUAUAAUUAAAAUACUAAAAGGACAAAAAUAGUUGAAAAUUCAUAACUUAAUAAAUAAUUAUUCAAAAAUCAUGUUUCAAAUGCCAAAAUGCCCUAGAUUUUUCGUUGGAUUUCGACGCUUCGGAGUCCACCUAGGAACACCCAAAACACAUAUAUACCCUAACUCUUACAAAGAUUCCCUCUGGUUUGUCCGAAGUGGGACUUUCCAGCUAUAAGUCCGGAAACUCACUAGAGAGAAAGUGAUGACGGUGAAGCCAGUCAUAUCCCAGAGUGGGAUCUUGGGGCAUAAAACGUUUUCUUCGCGUGUGUCCCUUACUUAUGAUUGCACUGUAACCAUGGAGAAUCUUCAUCAUUUAACAUGAUGCUCGGGUCAGUCUUCACUGUGAAGGGAGGAAUUUCAUCAUCAUAAUCUUCUGACAUGUCUGUCUUCUCCUCCACUCCCACGAUGUUUCUUUUCCCUGAAAGAACUAUGUGGCUCUUUGGCUCAUCAUAUGAUGAUUCACUUCCUUAUCUCUUUUUCUCGGUUUGGUAGACAUGUCCUUCACAUAGAAAACCCACGCCACAUCAUUGGCUAGGACGAAUAGUUUCAUAUUUGUACCCAGGAUUGUUGAGAUCCACUGUUAUCAUUACGUACUACAGGUCCACCUUUACCCCGCCUCCUGUCAGAUUGACCCAUUUGCACCGAAACAAAGGGACCUUAAAAGAAGGUUCAUAGUCAAGUUCCCAUAUCUCCUCUAUGUAACCGUAAUAUGUGUCCUUUUUCCUAUUGUUGUUUGUUGCAUGAAAGCGGACACCACUGUUUUGGUUGGUGCUCUUUUUAUCUUGGGCGAGCAUGUAAAAUGUAUUUGAUCCCAUUUAUCUCGUACCCUUUGAAAGUCAAUAUAGUCAAAGAUGGUGACUUGGCCAAUAAGUACAGCUCAUCUCCAAUAGUGGUGUUAAUCAUGAGAUGUGUUUGCAACCAACCGCCAAAAGUCGCCAUGUGUGGAUGUUUAAUCCAGGGGUCAGACUGCUCCGGGUUCUCAGAGCAUACAAUAUCCAUGUGUUCCUCGAUAUACGGAACCACCAAGGUGGAAUUUUGUGAAACUGUUUAGUGUGCUUGAGUGAAAGAAUGCCCGUCCAUACUUAUUACUGAAUUCUUUCCUAGCUUGCCUUUUCCACUCAGUCUCCCCUCAUGUCGCGAUUGAGGAACACCAAUCGGCUUAAGGUUAGGAAUAAAGUCAACACAAAACUCAAUAACCUCCUUUGUUUCAUGGCCCUUGGAGAUUCUUACUUCUGGCCUAGCACGGUUAUGAACAUAUUUAUUUAAGACUCCCAUGAACCUCUCAAAGGGGAACAUAUUGUGUAAAAUACAGGACCAAGAAUGGUAAUCUCUUCCACUAGGUGAACUAGGACGUGCGUCAUAAUAUUGAAGAAAGGAUGGUGGGUACACCAACUCGAAACUGACAAGACAUUGUACCAAAUCAUUCUGUAACCUUGAUAGGAUUUCUGGAUUGAUUACCUUCUGAGAAACUGCAUUGAGGAAUGCACAUAGCUUCACAAUGGCUAAUCGAACAUUUUCUGGUACAAGCCCCCUCAAUGCAACGGGAAGUAAUUGCGUCAUAAUCACAUGGCGGUCAUGAGACUUUAGGUUUUGGAUUUUUUUUCUCUACCAUAUUUAUUAUUCCCUUUAUAUUCGACGAGAAGCCAGACGGGACCUUCAUACUGCUCAGGCAAUCAAAAAACAUUUCCUUCUCUUCUUUGGUAAGAGCAUAGCUGGCAGGACCAUGAUACUGCUUUGGAUGCAUGCCGUCUUUUUUGUUCAUAUGUUGCUGGUCCUCCCGUGCCUACGGUGUAUCUUUUGUCUUCCCAUACACGCCCAAGAAGCCUAGCAGGUUCAUGCAAAGAUUCUUCGUCACGUGCAUCACGUCGGUUGCAGUGUGGACCUCUAGGACUUUCAAAUUGGGUAGCUCCCAAAAUAUAGAUUUGUUCUUCCAUAUUGGUGCGUGUGCGUUUGCAUCAUGCGGAACAGAUUGUCCGCCAGGACCCUUUCCAAAGGUUACUUUUAAAUCCUUGACCAUAUCAAAUAUAUCAUCACCAGUAUGGUGGUCAGGCUUCUUCCAUUGAUCUGCCUCACCUUUGAAAUGCUUGCCUUUCUUUCUUAAGAGAUGCCUGGUCGGAAGAAAUUGACGAUGUCCUAGGUACACAUUCUUCUUACAUUUAUCCAAAUAUAUACUUUCAGUCUCAUCUAAAUAGUGCGUGCAUGCAUUGUAUCCCUUGUUUGUCUGUCCUGAAAAGAGUAGGCCAAUCAUUGAUGGUUACAAAUAGCAACGCUUGUAGGUCCAAUUCCUCCUGUUUAUGCUCAUCCCACACAUGUACACAUUUUAUUAUCCACAACUAUAAAAGUUCUUCAACUAAUGGCCUUAAGAACACAUCCAUGUCAUUGUCAGGUUGCUUAGGGCCUUGGGUGAGCACUGGCAUCAUAAUGAAUUUCCACUUCAUGCAUAACCAAGGAGGAAGGUUAUCGAUACAUAGAGUCACAGGACAGGUGCUAUGACUGCUUCUCUACUCCCCCACAAGGAUUAAUGCCAUCUAUACUUAUACCAAACCAUAAGUUCCUUGCAUCAUCUGCAAACUCCGGCCACUUUCUCUCAAUUUUUCUCCACUGCGACCCAUCAGCGGGUACUCUCAACAUCCCGUCUUUCUUACGGUCUUCUUUGUGCCACGGCAACAACUUGGUAUGCUAUUUGUUUUGGAACAAACAUUUCAAUCGUGGUAUUAUAGGAGCAUACCACAUCACCUUGGCAGGAACCCUAUUCCUGGGGCGCUCGCCCUCAACAUCACCAGGGUCAUCGCGGCUGAUCUUAUAGUGCAAUGCACCGCAUACCGGGCAUGCAUUCAAAUUCUCGUACUCCUCACCGUGGUAGAGGAUGCAGUCAUUAGGGCAUGCAUGUAUCUUGUGCACCUCUAAUCAUAGAGGGCAGGCAACCUUAUUUGAUUCGUACGUACUAUCGGGCAAUUCGUUAUCCUUUGGAAGCAUCUUCUUUAACAUUUUCAGCAACUUUUCAAAUCUCUUGUCAGAUGCACCAUUCUCUGCCUCCCAUUGCCGCAAUUCCAGUGUGGUACCAAGCAUUUUCUUGUCAUCUUCACAAUUUGGUUACAACAAUUUUUUGUGAUCCUCUAACAUACGGUGUAACUUUAACUUCUCCUAUUCACUUUCGUAGUUUCUCUUUGCAUCAGCAAUGGCUCAACCAACAUCAUCAGCAGACUCAUCUGAUGCCUCUUCCCCAGCUUCCCCCAUUGUACUACCAUCAUAUUUAGGGAACCUAGGAUAGUUUUCAUCCUCCUCUUCUUCUUCAUUGUCUUCCAUUAUAACCCCUCUCUCUCCGUGCUUGGUCCAACAGUUAUAGCUGGACAUGAAACCGGACUGAAGCAGGUGGCUGUGAAGGAUUUUUGAGGUAGAGUAAUCCUUACCAUUAUUACAAACACCACAUGGACAACACAUAGAACCAUUCCUCUUGUUUUCCUUAGCCACACGCAGAAAACUAUGCAUGCCAUUAAUGAGCUGGGGAGAGCGUCGGUCAUCGUACAUCCAUUUUCAGAUCAUCUUCAUUACACAACAUCGAAGUGACCAAAUUAAUACAAGUUCAAACAUAAAGUUCAUACAUACUUCUCAUGAAACACCAUACAAGUAUAUAUCUAGCUAAAGCAUUUAAAUGCAACAACAAAUGCGAUAAAAAUCACAACUAUGGAAAUAAUCGAUCCAACAACAUAAUGAUAUCAAGCCUCUUUAUUAAUGGCAUAUUUUCUAAUCUUUCUAAUCUUCAAGCGCAUUGCAUCCAUCUUAAUCUUGUGAUCAUCGACGACAUCGGCAACAUACAACUCCAAUUUCAUUUUCUCUUCUUCAAUUCUUUUCAAUUUUUCUUUCAAAUAAUUGUUUUCUUUUUCAAUUAAAUUUAAAUUCUCGACAAGAGGGUCGGUUGCAAUUUCCGGUUCACAUACCUACUAGAUAAAAAUAUCUAUGUCAACUUGAUGGGCAUAAUUGUCAUAAACACGAAAUGAAACAAAUAGUUAUAAAAUAUAAUAUACCACAUCUGAAACAUAAACUGGACGUGGGCUUGUGGCCACCCCAAAGGUCAGUUGGAGGUGUCCUUUGGACGCAAGGAAGCUUGUAUCCGGAUAGAAAUCGUGUUAAAAUUUCAGCCCAAUCAGAGUUACGGAUCUCCGGGAAUUUAAGAAACGGUGAAAGGCCAGAAACAGGGGUCGUGAAACAGAAGAGAAACAGAGAGACAGAUCCAAUCUCGGAGGGGCUCUCGCCCCUCCGCCACCAUGGAGGCCAUGGACUAGAGGUGAAACCCUUCUCCCAUCUAGGGGAGGUCAAGGAAGAAGAAGGAGGGGGCUCUCUCCCCCUCUCUCCCAGUGGCGCCGGAAUGCCGCCGGGGCAAUCAUCUUGUGACGGCGAUCUACACCAACACCUCCAUCAUCUUCCCCAACAUCUUCAUCACCUUCCCUCCAUCCAUAUUCAGCGGUCCACUCUCCCGCAACCCGCUGUACCCUCUACUUGAACAUGGUGCUUUAUGCUUCAUAUUAUUAUCCAAUGAUGUGUUGUCAUCCUAUGAUGUUUCAGUAGAUUUUUGUUGUCCUAUCGGGGAUUGGUGAAUUGCUAUGACUGGUUUAAUUUGCUCGUGAUUAUGUUGCUGUCCUUUGGUGCCAUCAUAUGAGCGUGCGUGUGGAUCACACCAGAGGGUUAGUUGAAUGUUGAUAGGACUAUGUAUUGGAGGGCAAGGGUGACAGCAGCUUCAGCCUAGCAUAGAAAUUGAGGCAUACGGGAUUGAAGGGGGACCAAUAUAUCUUAAGGCUAUGGUUGGGUUUUACCUUAAUGAAUGACAGUAGUUACGGAUGAUUGCUAGAGUUCCAAUCAUAAGUGCAUAGAAUUCCAUGUAAGGGAUGACAUGCUAGCAGUGGCCUCUCCCACAUUAAACUUGCUAUCGGUCUAGUAAUGUAGUCAAUUGCCUAGGGAAAAUUCCCCAACUCCUACCACCACUUCUCGACACUCGCUAUAGCCCCUAGUUUAUAUUUUCAUGCUCUUUAUUAUCUUGCAAACCUAUCCCACAACACCUACAAAGUACUUCUAGUUUCAUACUUGUUCUAUGUAAAGCGAAUGUUGCGUGCGUAGAGUUGUAUCGGUGGUCGAUAAAACUUGAGGGAAUAUUUUUUCUACCUUUAGCUCCUAGUUGGGUUGGACACUCUUACUUAUCGAAAGAGGCUACAACUGAUCCCCUACACGUGUGGGUUAUCAAGACCUUUUUCUGGCGCCGUCGCCGGGGAGCAAUUGUGUGGGGUGAAUAUUCUCGUGUGUGCUUGUUUGCUUUAUCACUAAGUAGAUUUUAUUUGCUAUUCUAAGUUGUUCUUUAUCUUUAGUUAUGGAUAUGGAACACGAAAUACCAAAAAAUUAGGCGUACUAGCUACUCAUGGAGAUGGGGAACCUCCUAAAAUCCUGGAUGCUCGCUAUGUGGAAAGUAUUAAACACUACUUUGAUAAUCCUAAGAAAACCCCGUUCAACUUGAUAAUGGGAGACACAUUGGAUCAACGUGAAUACUUUAUGGAUUAUCGCUUGACUCUAAAAGGAAAAUUGUAUGGGAUCGAAUUCAUAUGUUGCAUUGGUAUGCUUGUAAUUUAUGCCGCAGAUAUGAUUAUACCUGUUGCUCUAGGAUGAAGGCUCCACACCUUCCCUUUUCAUGUAAAUUUAAUGAUAAUGAAACCUUGGCUUCUUGUGCUAAUUCUAUAUAUGAUUGCUAUUAUGUGGAACAAAUAGAAGAAUUUGUUGCUUUUAAGGGUUCUUAUGAAAUUGAAUAUUUUUUGAAAAGUGUGAACAUUUUGAUGAUGCUCUUUACAGACCUGAAAAUUAUGCUAUAUUUAAAUAUUGCUAUGAGAAUUGUGAAUAUAAUGCCGAUAUUAAUGAGUUUAUUGAGAAAGUCUCCGCUAUCCAAGAAGAGAAUAAUAUUUUGCAGGAAUCUAUGGAAGAAUAAAUUUAUGACACUAUGAGCUCAUUAGAUGAAAAAGAUGAGGAGGAGAGCGAAGAACAAAAGGAGGAAGAGCGGAUUGAUCACCCAUGCCCACCAUCUAAUGAGAUUAACUCUUUAUCCCAUACAUUGUUUAUAUUUCCCUUUGUGCUUACCGAAGGAUGAAUGCUAUGAUGAUUGCUAUGAUCCCUUGGAUUCGUUUGAAAUAUCCCUUUUCGAUGAACUUGAUGCUUGCUAUGCUUGUGCCCAUGAUGCCAAUAUGAAUUAUGCUUAUGGAGAUGAACUUGCUAUAGUUCCUGUUGCUAUUGCACCCAUGCAUGAUAGUCCUAUUAUCUUUUUGAAAUCUCCCAGCUACACUUUAUCGGAGAAGUUCGCGCUUAUUAAGGAUUAUAUUAAUGGGUUGUGUUUUACUACUACACAUGAUGGUUUUGAUAAAUAUAAUAUGCAUGUGCUUGAUGCUCCUACUUGGAAUUAUUAUGAGAGAGACACUACUUCUUCUCCUCUCUAUGUUUCCAGUACGAUAAAAUUGCAAGAAAUUGUUUAUACUAUGCAUUGGCCUUUACUUGAUGUGCAUGGAUUGUUCUUUUAUGACAUGCCGAUGUAUAGGAAGAGAGUCAAACUUCGUUGUUCGAUGAUAUAUGUUGCUUUGUGCUCAAAACAAAGUUAAAAAUCAUUGUUAAUUAAAAUUGGCUUUGAUAUACCUUGGGAUCCUGGUGGAUCAAUUGCUUGAGCACUAUAUGCCUAGCUUAAUGGCUUUAAAGAAAGCGUUGCCAGGGAAACAACCCAGAAGUUUUACAGAGUCAUUUAUUUUGGUUUUGUGCUUUUAUAAGGUGUAAAAACAAAAAAAAUAAAGUGGGGAAUCUAAAACUUUUUCAAAAAGAAAAGUGAAAGUAAGAAAGACGAGCACCGUUGAAGUGGGGGAGCUCCUUGAACUUUGUUCAUGCCCAUGGAAACUUUGCAAACCUUGAUUACAUAAACUUUUAAACCAAAAUAAUUAUCCCCUUGUACAAAUCCAUUGUAUUAUAAAAAUAAUGUGCCAAGAUUUGCCUUUAGGAUGAUUAGAUUGCUUGUUUGGUUUGUGCAGUGCAAAAACAGAAACUUUAGUUGUAGUGUGUGAAUUUUAAUUUUUUACUGGAACGCCAAAAGUUUCUGAAAAUUUUACGCAAUACUGCUAUGCAAUAUUUUUAUUUUGUCCUAAGUUUUCAGAAUUUUUGGAGUUACAGAAGUAUGGUAGAUGUUUAGAUUGCUACAAAUUGUUCUGUUUUUGAUAGAUUCUAUUUUUGAUGCAUUGUUUUACGUGUUUUGAUGAAUCUAUGGAUUGUAUCGGUGAUAUAAGUCAUGGUGAAGUUAGAGUACAAUAGUUAUAAUGAAAAAGUAAAAUAUGAAUGAGUUUUCAACAAUACUUAAAGUGGUGAUUUGCUUUAUUAUACUAACGGAUCUCACGAGGGGUUUUGUUAAGUUUUGUGUGAUUGAAGUUUUCAAGUUUUGGGUGAGAUCGUGAUGGAUGAAGGAAUAAGGAGUGGCAAGAGACUAAGCUUGGGGAUUCCCGAGGCACCCCAAGGUAAUAUUCAGGGACUCCCAAGCUACUAAGCUUGGGGAUGCCCCGGAAGGCAUCCCCUCUUUCUUCUAACGACCAUCGGUAAUUUUACUUGGAGCUAUAUUUUUAUUCAUCACAUGAUAUGCGCAAAUUCUUGGAGCAUCUUUUGUGUUCAUUUUUCCUUCUUAUUUUAUGCACCAUGCUGGUAUGAGAAAGUCCUCGGUUGAUUUAUAGAAUGCUUCAUGCACUUCACUUAUAUCUUUUGAGUAUGGCUUUAUAGAAUGCUUCAUGUGCUUCGCUUAUAUCAUUUGAAGUUUGGAUUGCUUCUUUCUCUACACAUAGAAAACCGCCAUUUGUAGAAUGCUCUUUUGCUUCACUUAUAUUUGUUAGUGUGUGGGCAUAUAUUUUGUAGAAAGAAUUAAACUCUCUUGCUUCACUUAUAUCUAUUUAGAGAGUUAACAGGAAUUGGUCAUUCACAUGGCUAGUCAUAAAAUCCUACAUAAAAACUUGUAGAUCACUGAAUAUGAUAUGUUUGAUUCCUUGCCAUAGUUUUGCGAUAUAAAGAUGGUGAUAUUAGAGUCAUGCUAGUGAGUAAUUGUGGAUUGGUAGAAAUACUUGUGUUAAGGUUUGUGAUUCCCUAAGCAUGCACGUAUGGUGAACCGCUAUGUGAUGAAAUCGGAGCAUGAUUUAUUUUUUGAUUGUCUUCCUUAUGAGUGGUGGUCAGGGACGAGCGAUGGUCUUUUCCUACCAAUAUAUUCCCCUAGGGGCAUGCGUAUUAGUACUUUGCUUUGAUGGCUAAUAAAUUUUUGCAAUAAGUAUGUGAGUUCUUUAUGACUAAUGUUGAGUCCAUGGAUUAUACGCACUCUCACCCUUCCACCAUUGCUAGCCUUUCUCGUGUCACACAACUUUCGCCGGUGCAUAAAACCAUACUUAUACCUUCCACAAAACAGCCACCAUACCUACCUAUCAUGGCAUUUCCAUAGCCAUUCUAAGAUAUAUUGCCAUGCAACUUGCAUCAUCAUAUACAUUACUUGAGUGUUCAUUGACAUAUUGCUUUGCAUGAUCGUAAGAUAGCUAGCAUGAUAUUUUCAUGGCCUGUCAGAUUUUUGAUAUCUUUGCUAUGCUAGAUCGUUGCACAUCCUGGUACACUGCUAGAGGCAUUCAUGUGGUCAUGAUAUGUAUCAGUUUUAUCAAGUUGUGAUACUGAGUUGUAAGUAAAUAAAAGUGUGAUGAUCAUCUGUGAUGCCCCCGAUUUGACCGUACACUAAUCAUGCACGCAAAUGUGUACGAUCAAGAUCAGGGACUCACGGGAAGAUAUCACAACACAACUCUACAACAUAAAUAAGUCUUACAAGCAUCAUAAUACAAGCCAGGGGCCUCGAGGGCUCGAAUACAAGUGCUCGAUCAUAGACGAGUCAGCGGAAGCAACAAUAUCUGAGUACAGACAUAAGUUAAACAAGUUUGCCUUAAGAAGGCUAGCACAAAAGUAGCAACGAUCGAAAAGGCAAGGCCUCCUGCCUGGGACCUCCUAACUACUCCUGGUCGUC